UCAAGGCCCCUCUCCAUGUCAUGGAGUGGUUCACCUCGCAGAUCCCCUGUUAGCGACAUCCUGCUUUCAUCUUUCUUUCUUUCUUUCUUUCCCCUGUUUUCCUGUUCUCGAGUUGCCAUUGGAAGACUGUGGUGUGUGAAUGAGUGACGCUGCUGUAGAUUUCUUGCUAUUCAUCUCUCUUCUCUCGUUUAGCUUGUAAUAAAUCUGUGACACAAACAAAAGCUUCCCUCAGUAUCUGAGCUGAUCAAUCACCCGAGGAGAACACCAAGCGAAUAAUGGCUCGACACAUCCAAAAGCAAGAGAUCAGGCACAACUGGCAGCAACGAAGUGUGAUCCACAUCAUAAAGUAGCCAAAGAAUCUACUUUCUUUGAUGGAGUUGAUGCUUUUCUCCAAAAAGAAAUAAGUUGAUGUUUCAUCUUUCAUAGGUAGAGCCAACUGAUCGAACUCGAGUCCUUAGGAAUUGAUCACAGACAACUCCUCCUCGACUUCCUUCUGUGUUCUUCUUCCUUGUUGGAUGACACCUCUCUCUCCGGAAUGGGUCACAUGUGGGUGGGGCUCCUCAUCAUGAUGCCAUGGUUGAGGAAGAUGCCAGUUGCAGGAAAAGCAGCACCUUCCCACAUGCAGCUGGCCAAGAGCAAGCUGCUGUUCUUGGUGUCCCACCGGACUUAUCCUCCUCACAUCUCAAUGAUUCAGCAAAGCAAUCAUUCAGCCGCUUUAUACUGCGCGCCGCCUGGCAUCUCACUUACAUCUACCAUAUCGGACAUGGAUUUGUUUGAUAUAUUUCUCCAUCAUUGAAUCCAGAGACUGGCACUAAGAAAUAGAAAGCAUGGUUCAUUGAUCAGGUGUUUGUGGUCUUCCUCCCGCGAGCAGAGUGUUGGAGAUCCUGCAAAGAAGGAUGUAGAGUAUAGCUCAAUUUGAUUCUGCUUUGACCCUUACUGCAAACCACGUUAGUGCGACAAUGGACCUCACUUCGUAGCUUCUCCUGCAGCAGUUGAGAGAGAGAGAGAGAGAGAGAGAGAGAGAGAGAGAGAGAGAGAGAAGACACGAAGCUUAUUAUAAGAGGAAGUAAGCCGUAGCACAAUUUUGCUCACCAACUCCAGCGCAAAGAAUGAGGCUCUCAAUCUUCUUCUUCUUCCUUCUCCUUUUCCCUUGCUUCCACCUCUCCGGUUCUCAGAGCUACAACGCACUAUUUAGCUUCGGCGACUCGCUCUCCGACACCGGCAACGUCGUCGUCGCCGGACUGCCUUACGGCAUGAGCUUCUUCGGCCGGCCCACCGGCCGUUGCUCCAACGGACGCCUAGUCAUAGAUUUCAUCGGUACUACUGCUACUACUUGCACUCAAUCUAACAUACAGGCAAUGCGUAGUAACUAAGAACUCAAUUAUGAUCGACGCAGCCGAGGCACUUGGGCUGCCGCUGCUUCCACCGUCCACCGCGAAGGGCAAAAGCUUCCUUAAAGGCGCCAACUUUGCUUACACUGCCGCCACCACACUCGGCUUCCGCUUCUUCCACCGGCUAGGACUCAGCAGCGGUCUAUGGGUCAACGCCUCCCUGAGCACCCAAAUAAGGUCGUUCGAGCAGAUGAUGCCUUCUCUCUGCAACUCUUCUCAAGGUGUCAACCGAUUCAUCUCUCUCUCUCUCUCCCUACCAUCUUCAUCCUUCUUCUUCUUCUUCUUCUUCUUCUGCUUCUUCUUCUUCUUCUUCUUAUCGGAACAUGUGAGACGAUGGAUGCAUGCAGAAUGCAAGGAGUACUUGAGCAAAUCCCUCUUCGUGGUCGGAGAGUUUGGUGGGAACGACUAUAACACUCCCAUCUUUGCCGGCAGGAGCUUGAAACAAGUGUAUACUUUCGUGCCCAAAGUCAUCCACGCAAUCCAUUCCGGUGUUGAGGUACUCGAUCGCACAUCACAAACCUGUAUCUGCUGUUACCGCUCAUCGCCGUUGUUCAUGGCAACAAUGUGCAGAGGUUGAUCGGCCAUGGGGCGACUGAGAUCGUGGUGCCGGGAAUGCUACCGAUCGGGUGCUUCCCCAUGUUCUUAACCUUGUACAGUACAUCGAAUACAAACGAUUACACCGACAUCGGAUGCUUGAACAAGUUCAAUGACUUGACAUCCUACCACAACUCUUUGCUGCGCCGGCGUCUGCGCGGGCUGCAGCGGAGGUACUCAUGGACGAGGAUCAGAUACGCCGACUUCUUCGACCCCACGAUUCAGUUCAUUACCAGUCCGACACAGUACGGUGAGUUCUUCGUCUCCAUUGGCGACCGCCAUCACAGCAAGGUAAAGAUCUGCGAAAUGUUGCAGGAUUCAGUGAUGGCGGAGCUCUAAAGGCGUGCUGCGGGGCAGGUGGGAGAGGAGACUACAAUGUGAAUCUGGAGGCCAAGUGUGCCGAGCCAGGCUCGGAUGUGUGCUCAGAUCCAUCGAUGUACGUGAGCUGGGAUGGGAUUCACUUGACUGAAGCGGCUUAUCGCCUCAUAGCCAAUGGUUGGCUCAAAGGUCCUUAUGCAAAUCCACCAAUCCUGCAACAAAACUAGAGCUACUGUGGUGCAUGUUAUUGGCCACAGUUCCACCACCAAAUCCAAGUCAAUAGCUUAGCUUUGGAUCCAUGUGUUCUUUCGAUGUCUGUGUAUCAUCCAUUCAAUGGUUACUAAUAAGUGUGUUCUUUUGCAUUCUUAUAGCUUAAAUCCAAAUGGAUAAUAGUUAAGACUUGACAUUCUCGUCAAAAUCGAGUCAUAAAUUGAUGAGAUUGAACCGAUGAUUCAAUAUAUUUCAGUCCAAAAUAAUGUUGUUAGAUCAUCCGACUCGAUAAACCAACUAAUAAACAUGAUGUACUGUAUUAUAGCAUAAGACCUCACUAAUAACCAUCGAGAGCUGCAUUAGAGAACAGCACUGAGACUUGGUUUGAUCUGUCUCGGUCGCUAUUUAUGUAUGGCACACAAGCAAGGCAGUAGCAGGAAGCUGAUGCAUUUUCCUGAGUCAUGGCACCUGUAACAGAGGUGAUUGCUGAAGCAACAGGGAAUGAACCUUAUAUGCUUUGCCAGAAUGCAAAUAGGCAUACACAGAAACAAUGCAGAAACACGAUUUUGCUAAAGAACUAUCAACACAUUUCAUAAUGAAACUAUGUAUAAUGAGAAUUUACACAAGAAUGCAUCUAAAAAUAUUCACUCAUAUGGACAAAAUUUAGCAGUGCAGGUAGUUGCUAAUCAAAAUGGAUGUUUUUUUUUUUUUUUUUGGUGAAUAGAUAUGGCCACCAAGUUUCCUCUAGCGAUCAUUGACUACGGUAGACGACAAUCUUCUGGCACGACGUGGAAAGAAAUGACUGUUUAAUCUAUAGGAAUUCCCAUUCAGACUCCAAGUCACGAUUAGAACCCUUCUCAGAAUCUGAUGAUGAGCGGACUCCUCGUGCACGUUGCUUUUGGGCAUUGAGAUCACGGCAGGAGGUACCAGCCUUCUUGUAAUGGCUCAACAUUCGUAAUUUUGAAAUAAAUAAGGCAACGACUUUUUUCUGUGAAAGACAAAACAUCAGUUACUGAGUGCAACAACAAAAACUUCUCUAAAUACUAAAGUUCAGAUUUCCAAUAUUAGAAUACGGCAAGAAGGCUCGGUGCAAUUUAUUUGACCGACUGUCCACAAAGUCCCACCGUGUCCAUAAAGGAUCUGUUCUGAUGUGAAGGUGGUAAACGGUGUUUAGGUCACAUUCAAGGUAAUAAAUUUAACCAUAUGUUACAUUCAUCCUUGUGUCUCAUUCAGUCACAUAUUUGUCAGCACUUGGUAUAGAAACAUAGAUAUUUGAAGAAAAGAGAUCAACCAGGGCAACAGGCAGCCAAGUAAUCAGUAGCUGUAAGUUGGACAUGCAUGACAUUAGCUACAGGGAUUACACAGACCUACAAACAUCUUUGGAAGAAUAUCAACUGGGAAAUGCAAGACCUUACCUACAAUGGUUUUACAGCCCUGAGUAAUCCAAUACCACAAUCAAAAUGUGAGGCCAACAUAUGCUGGUCAUGACAUAAAACCAAGAAACAAAAACUGGGUUUCGCUGUUAGACUUUUCAAACAAGAAAAUGGAUUCGGUGAUUAACUAGUUCCAUGAUGUUUCAUGCAACAGUUUAAACAUAUAGCCAAGAGAAGGUAAAAAUAGAUUGUUGUCUAUGCAAGCAUCUAAUUACCUUGCAGGACAUCUUCCUCGGUUCAUGAUACGAGGCCAAAACAAGGUCAUAGUCUUCAUCAUCAUCCUCCCAGCUAUCAUGAAGAUCUACAUCCUGGAAGUCUUCAGAUUUCAGAUCAAGAACAUGCAUGUUGUUCCACAUGUCUUCCCUGUGGGAGCUCUCUGAAACCCCUGAGAAAAAGCACAAUAAAGUAAUGUGUAUGCCAAAUGGUUGGCAAAAGCAACAAUUUGAGUUUUGUUGCCAUGCAACUUCACCUCCAGAAAAGGGAACAACAUAACAAAGGACAUUUAAUUGUUCACACAGCAACAAAUUUGGGUACUCUAGCAUUUAAUAACAUUCAGAGAGAUUGAUGGCUUUCUCAAACCUUUAUUUUGGUUCACAGUCCUUCCAGUAUCAAUUUUCAUGAGACAAGACUACAGCCGAGAGUUGACAAGGCAACCACAGCCAGGACCUCACCAGAGACCACCAUGAUGGAGAGACACUCCACCUGGCCCUAAUAACUGUUCUGACCAGACAACAGUCAUUUGACCUUGUUUCUUUUUUCCUCUUUUCUUCUAUCUUCUUCUCUCAUUUUUCCCCCUUUUCACCCACAAUAAGUCCACCUCCAGACCAAGAUGUGCCAAGCAUCAGCAUCGCUCAAUAUGUCAAUAUGUUUCAUUCUAGUAGCCAGAUGGCACCCCAUGCACCACCCAAACUAAUAACCUUAAGCUAAACCAUUAGAACUUCUGCUAGAAAAUCAAUAAAAGCAACAAAAACAAACUUGGUUUCAGGAUAAGAAUUCAUGGUACACAGUUUUGCAAGUAGCAUCCUUAUAAGAAGGGCUAGGAAAACAAGAAAAGAAGAACUUUUAGUACAUACCUAUUUCUAUGUCUUGUUCAGAAACAAGUGACUUAAUAUCUUCGAUCUGUUGUUCACAUUCAUUUUCCUCCAUGUGAGUUGUAAAAUCCUGUAACAUAGAAGUGCUUUCUUUCACAUCUGUCAGAAGAGGACAAAGGAUAUGAUAAGCAAGGGAACAAAAAAGAGGAGAAAAAAGAAGAAAAAACCAUAGAAUCAAACAGCAAAGAUACCACAUGCUCCAGUUGGUGAAAUAUAGCUAGCAAGUUCCUCGAUUGAAUUAAUUUGAUCUGAUACAGAUUUAAGGGCCUCAUCAUCUGAUAGAGAAUCAUUUUGGCAGCCAGCAAGAGGUUCAGCAACAGGUAAAGCAUUCUCAGAACUUUCAUUUAGUGUAUCCGCAAAAGCAUUUGAUUCAGCUUCAUAAGUUUCUUGUGUGUCGUUAUUAGAGACACAAGCAUCAGGAUCAAGCCAAUCUCCCACAGCCUGAUCGAGUUUCUCAGCGAUAACUUUACCGGCCUGUCCCACCAAAAAAAAUAAUUGGCACACAGAAGAAGUCAGUUCGCUUGGAAAAUUCUGCACAUGCCCCUGAGGGUCGCCUAGAAUUUCACAAAAAGCCUUGUAUAGUUAUAAUAUCAUAAACACCCUUAUAAAACAAUAAAUUUUCAUGAAUUCUCUUCUGGCAAUAUGUUCAAAAUCCAAAUAGUAAUAAUCAAAAUCAAAAUUCUGAUCCUACACCUUACAGAAAUAGCCCUUCACUAUUUUGAUAGAGUAGUUUGACAAAAAAAAAUACAAUAGAUUAUGCAAAGCAAGGGCAACUUACUACAAACUGAGGCUGCUCUUUUACUAGAGCAACAAAGAUCAUGGUCCAUCCAAAAGAAAUAAUGUAUAAAAAAGAAGAAAAAAGUGAAAAGUGACAUCAGGGAUAGGUUCAUAAUUUUUUACUCAACCCAUAUUAAACCUUAAAAUCAAACCUCAUAUCGACCUUAGUUUAGCUAGUUUUUCUUUUACAAAAAGCUCAAUGGCGGUCAACUAUCCAUAACCCAACCCCAAAUAGUUUGGACACCAGACUUGUUGUUAUUGUUGUAAUGAACAAAUAAAUGACCCAAAAAUCUGUACAAGUUUAAAUAGCUUUUUCUCAUUUGUUACCGAAAGACUAUGCUCAAAACAAAUGACUGAAACUAAGACAGAUGACACAAACCUGGGUUUUUCUGUUGCUCCAGAUAUUUAUCAAACUUAAUAGAUUUAUCUCAGAAGGUACUGAAAAAAUGUACUCAAAAGUCAAAGAAACCACAAAAGUUGAAAUAAAUGGCACAAACCUGAACUAAACUAUUACUCGUGCACAUUUUUUCAAUCUCCUGAUACACAUUGCCCCAAGAUAGUCGAUAUGCGACAUCCAUGCUGAAAGUGAAUCUCCAACAAGAUAGAGGAUCAACAAAAUAUUUUUUCUGCCUUCUUUUCGUACGAAUUCUUGCGAUGAGUUUUUAUUUCGAUUUGGAAACUUUGCUCGUAGCUGUUCAAACAGAAUAACAAUUAAUUCUGGAUGUACUUCAGAAUAGAAAAGGAAUUAUUUAAGGUCACAAUAAGACCUUCAUGCAUUAAAACAAAAAAGAUUAAGAAUACUACUUUUGCACAUAUUUUCAAAAGCAAAAACAAAACGUUGGCUUAAACAUCUGCGCUACAUGAUGGUCACUACAUGGUCGACAACGUGAAAGAACAAACUGCAUAUGAACAACGAAACUUACAUUGUGCAAAAAAUUAGCUUAAGGGACAAAAAAAUAACCUAAAGUUCUUGAAGGCUACAAUUACCAUAUGAUCACAGAUUCCUUGCGCGUCAUCAAAAACUUACCUUACACUAAUUAUAACUAGUUAAAGACCGUGACCUCAAGUGCUCACGACAACACGUACAAUUUACAAGGAAUUACGUAUAAAAACCACGAUAACACAACAGCACGUAGAGAAAGACAACCAUUGAUUGCCAAAAACCCAGUUCUUAAGAUCAAUCUACAUAAGAUCAAUCGAUUUUGGAAUAACCUUAGUAGAAUUAGUAGGGAAGAGAACUUGAGACCUCUAAUCCAAGAAAAUAGGGCCUUUAGAGGAAGAACAUAGAGGAAUCAAUGCUUCGAUCUAAAAGAGAACCAAGAAACGACCGGGAAUCCAGCCGUCACGGCCUACCAGAGAGGGUUCAAGAAACAAACCCGGCAGCAAUCGACGGAUUCCAAGAGAGGAUCUUUUUAGAACUCUUGCGGCGGCGGAGGAGAUCAAUGAUUGCGUACUAUGUAUAACCGAGAGAGAGAGAGAGAGAGAGAUAGAGCCAAAACCACCAGGAAUUGUGGUGGGAGGGGGCUUCCUCCGCGGGGUAUUUAUAAUCGCUUUUUGGAUGGAGACCACAAGCAGAUUCCCAAGCAAACUCAAAUUUCUAUCUUAUUUUAUUUGUAUGUUUAUUUACUUAUUUUGGAAAAGAUUGAUAUGGGUUUAGGGUUUAAAGAGAAAAGAAACGAUUACUCUCAGAACCUACCCAACUUCGUACCCGGUAGACAGUGCGCGUGCGUGCGUGCGCCGAUCUUAAGCAGCUUUGAUUUCGGACCACAGAAAACGUUGGGUCGGAUCUGAACUGGAACGGAGUCUUGGCCCAAUCGGCCCCAUAUCGGUUCGCUUCCGUUCGCCUUGUGAACUCUUCGUCCAUCUAUACUUUACUAUCAAUAAACUGAGUUGAUCAAUAAAGCCUGUUAUGGAUGCGAAUUAAUUAUUGGAAAUUUUUGUCCAUUCCGUAUAUGUAGAUUAAUUUAAUCGUUUGAAACCAUUCCUAGUGAGCUGGUCAAUUAAUUUAUAUGUUUCCAUGUAUAUAUUCAAAAGAAAAUUUUGUAUCAGGUUGAGAAUACUGAGUACAAUAUUCUGCAGCGUCUAUAGCGGAUGAUCUCCUCGUUAAUGAUAGAUUUGGAGUUGUUAGAGCCUCUCUGACAACACAUUCCAACCUUCACAUAUUCUACACAUCAUUUCCUUUAGAAUUACAAACUUUGCUUCCCAUUAUAUGUACUUGGCCUCAACUUAUCCACCAUCAUCAUCAUCUCUCUCUCUCUCUCUCUCUCUCUCUCUCUCUGCAUGGGGAACUUCUUGCCUUUGCCUUGCUUGUUUCAUGAAGCCAAGAUGUCACAGAAGCCCUCGAACAAAUCCAAGCGAGGGCUCAAUUUGCUCCUCGAUGUCCCUCUAAACUGGUUGCGGAAAACGAAGCAACAAACUUGCAGCGGAAGCAGGGACUCAACGUAUCUUCCAGCAUCUAAGCACACGAAGGAGAGAGAGAAGCAGGGUGUCACCAGAGUGAAGGUGGUUCUCACCAAGGAGGAGGCAGCUCAGCUGCUAGCCAUCUGCGCCCAAGGCGAAGAGAGGACGGUUGCCGAGGCCGUAAGAAGGCUUAAAAGGUCACAGACUUCCCGGCAUGGAUGGAGCUGUGGUAGAUGGAGACCAGCCCUUGAAGUCAUCCCUGAGGAGUAAACAAAGGUAAGAACAUAUCCUCUCUUGCUCAUGUAGGAAACCUUGGUAUUCACACAACAAUGUCGAGGAAAUGGGAUGAGAGGACUUCUUCUUCUUCUUCUUCUUCUCGCUAUGAUUUCUUUCUGUUGAUGUAGUUUUACUCACUGAACCAUUUGGUAGAUUUUAUGUACUCUCUUUCUUCUUCCAAACCUAAAUGCUAAGCGUUCUUCAGAGUUCGAGUACAUGCUGAGUUGAGCAACUACUCCCACUGUAACAAGGUAAGGUAUCCCCUCACCUUUCCAUGUGUGGUUGAAGCCCAAAAAUGACUUCUGCUAAAAGGAGGCAUGGAGAGGAGCUCAACAAAUCUUGCGAGUAUGCUUUGCUUCUUCUGGCUCUCCAAGAUAGGGCCUCAUGGGGCUAAUGCAGCUGGCAGAUAUCAGCAACAUCUGCUUUUAAGGGAUAAAAGAAGUUAUCAAUCCACAAAACUUUUGCAUGAAAUCAGUAAUUUUUUUGUAGCAAGUUAUUGUUCAGUACUACUUUUCUGCUUUGGUAGUGCUUAAAGAAACAGGUUUGUAUGUAUCACAACCACUGACACAUAUAUAAACUCACUUCAAUACAACCACACCUCAUCACACCCAUGAGCUCUCACCUCUUCCUGUUCUUCCACUGCCAUAAAACGCUUUCAUUCUAUUAUGAAGAUGAGGUUUUAUUGUUUUUGAUAGGACAUGAUGUGUUUUAGGAGUCCUAUAUUGACCAAGUUGGGGUAUAUUCAUUAAUUCAUACGACCUUACAUUCCUCUCAGGCUAUUUAAUCUAUAAACUGGGGGUAUUAAGAACAGCCGAACAGGAAAAGCCAUGACAAGCAUAGGCCUUGAUGAGGCUUGGAUUUAAUUUAAAUGUGCUAGUAUUUAGAGUAUUUAUGAAUUAGGUUUUUGACCAAAAAAAAAAACUAGGUUUGAUCUACUCAUUAGGGUUGCAAGUGAGUCAAAACCUAUGAGCUAAGUCUCCAUAUCAUAUGUAUAGGAAAAGACAUUCAAGCUUGUUCUAUUUAAUUCAGAUCCUUAUCAUGCAUCCAUGACCUGGUUCAGAUUCCUUAUAAAGAGGUCAGAUGGUGAGAACAAGAAGAAUCCGUGAAGAGCAGUAACAAUCAAUUCUUGAUUUAAAGGAAAAACUAUAGAUUACAAAAAGAAUAAUUAUCAACAUCUUAGGUAAAUCCAAAACAAUUCAUGUCGUCACCCACGUUGAGCAAGUGGAACCACCGCAAUUGGUGGCUUUGGAAAUAAACAGUAGAAGACUGCACCUAUGCAAGUCCAAAUAACACUGAGACCAACUAUGCCGACAGGGCAGGAGGAGAUGUGGAACAACUCGUUCCACGCAGAAGGAUACUAAUGAAUUAACCAUAGAAUUAAGUAUUAAAAAUCCUACCUGCUCUCACUAUCUUCAUUGUUUAUUAGCCUACAAUAUCAUUCCAUGCUACAGCUUUUGACUCAUGUCUUCUUCUGAAGUGUUAAUGAUUCCUCGUUUUAAAUUUUAGCCAGAGGUUUUGUCUUCUCUUCCUUCAACAUCAAAGUCAAAAACGAGUUUUGUUUUCUCUAACGUGUUACUAUCCCAAGUCUGCUUGAUAGUUAUACUAACAUGAUGAAAUAGAAUUUACUUAAAACAAAAGCAGGAGGCCAUCAAAUACCUUAUGAACAAGUUUGAUUCUUAUAUAGUUGUGUAUAAAACAGCUAAUAAAAGAGUAGACAACAUUGAUUCCUUCAGCAGAUAUGUACAGGGUUCUCAAUUAAUGGUCAGGUGGAGCCAGGAUGAGAUGGCCUAGAUAUUUAGUGCUCCAUACAAUAACAAUAUGCACAUUAUUCUCUAUUAUUAAUAUAACUAGAUAUUCAGUUAAAUAUGAUAAAAACCGGAUACAAUGAUGCAUGAGGGUGCUUCAGCAACAUGAUGAAGCAGUGUUAAUAAUCUAGUCGAAAGAUCAAAGCAGUCAAAAGUCCGAAUAGUUGACAAAUAUCAAGCUCGAUCCACUAUAUACUGAUACUCUUCAAAAAAAAAAAAGAAUCCAAGGAUAAGUUCUAAUCUCUCUUGCAUGAUGUGCUAACUUGUCCAGAUAUGAUAUGGAAGUACUAGAACAAUUUUAGUGAUAAAAUUGUUUCUUGUUUUCAGGAAAACAUGUCUUGCAAUAAAAACCAAACAGUGAUAUGUAGAAUUAAUAAAGGUUAGAAAUGGCAAUGGGAUUGGAGUCCUAAAUGACAUGCUGCAUCAAGUACUAGUAACAAUGAAAAAGAGCAUAAUUCUAGUUCAAGUUGACAGCAGCAAAGAGAUAACGGCACCAACCUCAACCGUCGUCGUUAUUUCUCAGCUUUAUCCUUAAGUAAUGUAGUUGAAUUUUUUUCUCUAUCUUUUGAUAUCAGCAUUUUAUGUAGUUGUUUCUGCAACAACUGUCUCAAAUGGGAACUUGAAGCUAAAUUCUUAUCCAGCUUCUCUUUUUCAGCUAAAAGUUCAGACUUUCUCGCCUCUGCGACAGCAAUCUUAGCAGUAUUGAGAUAUCCAUCAUUUCCUUGAAGGCGUUUCAGAGAUGAUUUGAGCUGCAAUAGCAUACAUUAUGUAGAAAAAAUCUACGUUACUGAUAGGAUGUAUGACAUGUGAAACAAAUACAAAACUUUAGACGUAAUGCUCCUUCGUUUGUUGUUCUAGUAAAUAAAUUAAAAAUAUAUUUAGUUCUAGUUACCUACCAUGAUACCAAGAAAGAGAAAACAUCCCAAUUGUUUGGUUUGACUGCAUGGCUUUGUCCUGCCGUUAAGCUUUGAAGAGGGUCAUCAAACCAAUAAGUGUUUUAACUUUGUUUACCUGGAAUAAACAUUACUUGAAAUUGCCUUGUUUAAUUGCAAAUUUGAUCAUGAAAAUAUUUGGACUACAUUUUCUUCAAGCAGGCAUCUUUCUCAAAGAAAUCUAUGCAUUGGACUUCCUAAGUACACAGAAUGUGGCACAAAAUGUGGACAGAUUUAACAAAAGUUCUGAAAGGAUGAGAUGCAAUGGUGCACAUCAUAAAUUGGCAUGAAAUUUGACUACCUGGAUAUAUUUGCACAAGAUUUUAAAUGUUUUGCUUCUGAUAUCAGCUUGUUGCGGCUACCAUGCUUAUAUUUUUUUAUCGCUCAAUUCAAUGAAGAUUAUCAACUUUAUGGUCUCAAUUUCUUUUAAUAGGCCAUCUUGAUGCUAAAAGAAUCAAGGAACCCUAGAUUGGCAUCCCAAACUGACGAAUGACAAAAGAAAUAACAUGCAUAAGGAGGUUUGAUCAAUGUGAAAUGGACUGUUUAUUAUCCGGGAUGGAGUACUAUCAUCUUAGUUUUCUAUUUGGGAGGGGAAAGAAGCUGUCAUAGGCCGAAGAAUGGCAUAUGCUUUCUUCAUUUAAGCACCAUUCACUGAUAGUGCAAUCGGAUUCCUAAGCAAUUAACUCUACAUGUACAAAAUCUGAGAAAUGGAAUGCUGUGAGAAGAGAAACAUCCAACCAAAAUUCUAGGAUUAGAAACAGAGGAGCAAAAGAACCUUACUUCCGAGACCCAAUCCCGCAGCUUCCGCACCUCUUCGCGAGUAUCCGAAACGAACCUCCUCUGCCGCUCCUUGAACUCCUCCAUCUCCGCCCUGUUCGCAGCAUAAAACCCGUCCCUCUCCUUCUCCGUCUCUUCCAGCUCCUCAAUCGCGCUCUUCAAGUCCCUACUCCCCGAAACCACCUCUCCAUCGAAACGUACAAUUCGUACAAGAAUCAAUCAAUAAACAAGGGGUAAAGAUCAGAGCAUGCCUGUACUCGCGGGCGGCGCCUUGGUACCGGGCGUCGACGGCAUCGAUCUGGGUCCUGUUGGUGAGGAUCCGGUGGGCGAUUUCCGCGUUCCUCCGCUCCAAGAGAAGGCAUCGCCGCUCCGCCCGCCGCAGCUCCUCGAUCUUCUCGGACAGCAGAUGGGACUUGGCGAUCUGGAUCUCCUUCUCGGCCUGGAGCCAUCACGAUCAGAGCUAGGGUUAGGGUUGGUGGGAAAGGACGGAGAGGAUGGAGAGUGGAGGAAAGAGGGGAACCCGAAGAAGGGCAAGCCUUUGGGUUCGGGUGGCUUCCAUUUGCCGAAGCCUCUCUUGAAAGGUGGACGGGGCCGCCAUUACCGCCGACCGCCAGCGAGCGAGAGACGGGGAGAGAAUUCGAAGUUUGGCGGGAAGACGUGGUGAUCAAUCCACUCCCAAACCGACAUAUUAUUAUUAUUAUUAUUAUUAUUAUUAUUAUUAUUAUUAUUAUUAUUAUGAAGUAUGAAAAAAAUUAUUUUUCGUUUAAUUUUAACAAUUUAAUUUCUUCUAUUAUAAUAGAUAAUAAUUUAAUUUUUUUCAUCUUCAUCUCCAUCAAUUUGGAGUCGAAAUUAGAAUCGAAACCACCACCACCCAUAAUCUUAAUACCACCCACUUAUAUAUAUAUAUAUAUAUAUAUAUAUAUAUAUAUAUAUAUAUAUAUAUAUAUAUAUAUAUAUAUAUAUAUAUAUAUAUAUAUAUAUAUAUAUAUAUAUAUAUAUANNNNNNNNNNNNNNNNNNNNAUGUAAUUUUCAAGUUUAAUUAUUUAUAUUAAAACCAAUUUUAAGGGGAUAAAUACUAAAAUCAAUAAUUAUUUACAUAAAUUUUCCAAAUCACAAUUGCUAGUCUAUUUAAAGAAAUAUACGCAUCAAUAAAUCAUCAUAAGAAGGGUGGGUUGGUUCGACCUGUAGGCGGAGUUGCCGUCAGCCCCUUCUCGUCCCCGCUUCAUUUCCUCAUGAUGGAUUCCGACUUCCGCUACCGGCCGCCCGUCAUGCACCGAUCCGACGCCGCCGCCCAGCCAGACCGCGAGGUUUCUAACCUCCAUCCUUCCUCGCCUGCUCCUCCUCUCUCAUCCUCCGGUAAAUGUCCUUUUUCUGCCGCUCUAAAAACCCUAGUAGCAUGAUUCGAUUGAUGAUGAACUUUUGCUGAUGGUCGGACAUUAUUGUUGUGAUAUUCACGCUUAAUUGGUUGAUUCUUCUUCGUUGUUGUGGCUGAUUUCGUGUCGGAUCGAUUUCACUAAGAGAAUAGUGCUUAUAAUUGAUUUCUUUAUAGAAAUCGUUUCCCCGAUAUGAGACGUAACUCUGAUUUCAAUCAUCCUCUUUGAAGGACUGUGAGGAAAGACGAAAGUUGUAAAUUGGUAUUGCCACUGAUCGAUCUGACUGCAAUUGCAAUGAUAGGCCACCUGUCUGCGCGCACACGUGCGUGUGCAUGCGUGCAUGAGCGCGAGUUUAUGUGUGCGCAUGUGUGCAUGCAUAUUAUUCAAACAGACAGGGCAUUCAUAAGUUUGGAGAAAAAAAAUUAAAAAGGAAAACUCAAAAGUUGUUUAAUUAGUCAUUUCGGUUGUAUCAAAAGUUCCCAAAUUUUUAUAACUGUAAAAUUAACGUAGUGUUAGAAUUGUAAAAUCUUGAGUUGAUUUAGAUUUCAAUUAUAGAUUGUAAGUUUAGAAUCAUUUUAAGUGAUGAGUGGUGUAUAUAUGUAUAUAUAUAUGUAUGUAUAUAUGUAUAUAUGUAUGUAUAUAUAUUUAGAUUUCUAUUAUAUAUAUAUAUAUACAUAUAUAUAUGUAUACAUAUAUAUAAUCUUGAGUUGAUUUAGAUUUAUAUUAUAUAUAUAUAUAUAUAUAUAUAUAUAUAUAUAUAUAGAGAGAGAGAGAGAGAGAGAGAGAGAGAGAGGUUACUCAUGGGUGCGUAAGAGAGGGGUUAAGAUUUGAUUCACUAGACUAUUUCAUUAAGAGUUCUAGUUUUUUUAUUAAAAAAAUGUUUACUUAGGUUGUGAAUUCCAAGGAUCAUAUCUUCUUGAUGAGAUCCAAUCUGGUAGCUCACUAAUUGGGUUGAUGGAAUUCAAUUAUGUCCUUAAUCGGCUCCGUUGGACACCAUGUCAAAAGGUUUCGCACUAAUUAAGUGCGCCUGAAACCUACAUGAAAGGAGGUCAACGGAGUGGCUGAAGAACAAGACAGAUUUCAUUCAUCCAACACAGCAGGGUGACCAAAUGUGCUACUUUUGCUUCUUAUUUAGAAUUAAAAAUUUACAUCCAUUGUCAGAUAAUCGUCAUCAUCUCACUGCAAGAUAUGCAUAGCAACUAUCAGAAAAAGAAAUGUGUUUAGAAUGUAUAUCCAUCAUCAUAAAAUGAUAUUCCUUUGUUCCACUUAUUCUAUUAUUUCCUUUUUGUUUCUGGAUGCUAAUAGCAUGUGCUUUCUUAUAAUUGGCUGUCACAGUGUUUCUACUGAUCCAAAAUCUUAUACACAUUGAAGCUACUGUUACCAAUUAGAUUAUCCAUAUCUCUAACUUCAAUUUUUUGCACACCUGGAAUUGUUUCUGCCAUCAUUUCUGUUCUCUUGGAACAUUAAAGAUCAUUGACAACAGAUUUUACAUCAUUAAGAGUUUUUAAUCUUUUGGCUUCAGGACUUGGUAGCAAAGCCAGAAUAUCAGCACCAGUGAGUAGUUUAAGUGUUUUGUGUAUGCGUGUGCAUUUUCUUUUCGGGAGGGUUUUCUGCAUCAUUAAUUUUGCUUAUACUGAGGUCGCUUUGUCAAAAUGAAUAAAAUAUUUGCCAACCUGCACAAAUGUUGAGAUCAAUUGUAGUUUUUUCUUUUUAGAAAACUGAGCUUUUUUUAAGUAACUGGGACUGUAUCAGUCCCCAAACAGAAUUCUCCUCCGAGGCUCGAUGAGAACAAAAAUGCCCUGCCCGAAUGGCAAGGUUGUGGGCUGCAAAAUUCCCCUCCCCGUGUACAUGUUCAAAGCACAAAACAUUUAAACUCUUAGCCAUCUGAAGUAUAUUAUUACAAAUAUUUUUCAAAUGCUAUGGAAGGGGCUUAGAUAUGCUUUUGCCACAAAUCAUCACAGCUCCUAGACAAUCAGAUUUUAUGGUGAUAUUAAUCAAGCUUAUCUGGGAAGCUUUCUUAAGUCCAUCCCAUAUAGCCCAGCAUUAUGCCUGAAGACGUCUUGAAGCCUGGUGCACGUUGCUGCCCUCUAGAAUGAUAGUGACCUGUGAAUCAGCAAUGCAAAAAUCAGUACCUGCAUAUACAUCAGGAUCAGUGAACAGAAAAUAGUAAGGAAGAGAGAUCCCUGUUCGGCUCAAGCAGUGAGGGGGUUGAGGAAGAUCAAUUGUAGUCGAAUCUGUAUUUUUUGAACAGCAGAGAAAUCAAACAAGUAAAUGAAAUUAUUUGAUUAAAAGUAAUUAUGUAACCAUAUUAGUUUAGUAAAUGGGCCUAUUUGAUUUCUCAGUUAUCAUGUUGUAAUUACGUUAUCAAGCCACCAAAUUUAGUUUUGUAUUCAAGCAACACACAUCGGAAGUGGGCAAAAAUUAAAAUUGACUGAUGGGUCUACUAUUGUCAACCUAAGCAUUUUGAGUCAGUGGUUCAGACUCAAUGAAGUUAAUAUAUCAAUUAUCCCAUCGGGCCGACUAAUGACAAUUGAUUUCAAAACCGACCUAGUAUUAUAAGUUAAAGUUCUUUCAUAUAAAUUUCCUGUGUUGUUUUUCAUUGAUUAAAAAUUUCACAUCAUUGCAUUUUUCUACUAGUAUUUGUAUCUCUGAUUAACAACCGACUUUACGGGCUCAAUUAGCACCACAAAUGCCAGAGGUUCCUCGAAGCAAGUUCCAAUUUGAUGUUGGGUUUGAGAGACAAAUACUAGCUGUGAGGUUGAGAAAGAGAGUCAGAAUUAGUGCAGAAUGACAUUGGAAAACCAGCUCUCAAAGUCUGCAUCUGCAUCAUCUUCCUCCUCUUCAUUGGUACAAUAAGAACUUUGUUUGAUGCUAAAUAUUAUUUAGCUAUGGAUCUAAGGAAUAUCAUUAAAAUUGGUUAUAAAAUAUUAAAAUGAUCUUUAAUGGUAUCGGAUUAUAAAAGUAUUUUUUUUAAUAUGAUCUCAUCAUGUUGCCGAUAUUUGCUUACACCUCCAUGUUUAUUUAUGAAUUUUUAUUCUGAACAUUGCCUUUUGUGGAUAUCAUCAUAAGAACCUGAUAAGUGGUGCAAUGGAUGUGUUGUGAUAUACCUUGACCACUAGCAUAUUGAUUAUUAUCCCCAGAACAUUGGUUUCAUUAUGAUUGCCUUAUUUAACUCUUUUUCUGUGAUGAAGGUUAAAAAUAUUGUACCCAAACCUUAAUGUGGUUGGAUCCCUUGUUGAACUGUUUUACGGUUUGUACCCAUCCAUUAAUUGCUAUUAUUUUAGUCAACUUCUUAACCCACAUUAUAUUUAACAAAGAGAUCGAAUUACUCAUUUAUUUGUGUAAUUUUUUGAAGGCAUCAGCAGGAGAUCCAGUAUAGAUAGCCAUGUUGCCUCAGGGCUUGGACCUGAAGCUGUAUCACUUGCUGUAUUGAAUUAUGGAGACAAUCCAGUGAAGGUAUGUCAAUACAGUCUCCUUUACAAUGUCUCUUCUCCAAAGUUAAACAGGAAAUUGAGGAAGAUUUUGUUUACAUGGGCAAACAAAUUUCUCACAUCGAAAUUCCAUCAUAAUCUCCCAUGCCCUAUUUAUUGUUCUUCAUUGUGUCUGUGUUUCUUGUCCAUGCUGCAUUUCUCUCAAAUCUGUUCUAGUGGUUGAGUACAUAAUCAUCAGAGUGGUACAUUGUUCAAUUAAACCUAAACGUAGGAACUAAAUACAGCAGAUGGGUAGCUAGAGCUGACAUCGGUAAGGUGUUUUACAUGUUAUGUUCAGGAUGCAUAUAUAAACUGAAAUCAUAUUCUUCUUUAUCCUUUUCAGGCGAGAGAUUUUGUAAAAGGAUAUAGUAUUCGCCAUGAGAUGGGAUUCUCCUCAAAAAAAAAUUGUGGCAGAGGCACUGGCUAUGUACACUAAUGAUACUGACAAGGCUGUGGCACACUUUCUUAACGCCUCUCAGUGAUACACGAUACAGUCGAGAUCAUAAUUCUCGUACUCAGUAUCAUGCAGAAAGCACAAAUUUGCACUUGCAGUAUAUUAUGACCAUGUAUCUUAAAGUUCUGGUCGACGUUCUGUUGUUCAAUUGUGGUGUUGGUGUUGAGCUUUUAGGCUUUCCGACUUGUGGAUUGUUUCCGAUAACGUCGGUAUAUUUGAUUAUGAAUUCAAUCUAGCUAGGUUGGCAGUGUGAUUGAUUCGGCAACCAGUGACAGAUAUAGAUUUGAUCUCUUCGCCUAUGCCACCGUUGGAUAUGUUUGUCCAACAUGGAGAGGUAGACAUAGCCGAUUUGCCUCAGGUGAUUUAAUGCACUAACACAGUCUUUUUGUUUGUUUUUCUGUUGAUGUGAGAUUUCUUGUUGAUGUGGAAGCAUGACAACUAAGAGACAUGUAUAGCAGCUUCAGAGCUCCAAAGGUGCUGCUAUUAGAUUUAUUGGAUGAGAAGCUCUUCUGUUGCAUCACCUGCCCCAAAAGUGCUUUUGUCAGACCACCUGUUGAAGGAUUCGGAUCUCCAGACAAGGAACGUGCAUGGUGAAGAUAAAUCUUUCAGGUACAUAAGCCAAUUGUGAUGAUUAAGAACACAAUUUUUCAUUUAGAACCGAACUCUCAAAAUCAUUAUAUUCAGUAAGGAAAUAAAGAAACUUUUGUACACUGUGGAUCUUAUUCUAUUGGUAAACUGACCUCAGGGUUCUCUAUUUUGCAGGGACAUGUAUGUAAUUUGCCAAAAGGAAUAAAAUCUACCAACUUCGAGGAAGCUACGAGCAUCGAGAUCGGACUCAGAACAGCCUAUCUCAAAGCCCAAUCAUAAAUCAGAGUGCAACAGUCAUAUAGGCAUUCGAUACAUGAUCAUAUUAAAUAGUCUUAUUCAUGGGGAAGCCACGAUGAGGUUGACAAGGUUGGCUUGGACGUGGAGUGCGCAACAUGGUCAGUUCCCCCCUUCUCUCUCCCUCUCUUUCUUUGGCUUUUUGCGUUGAAAUGACUAUUGGCAGAGGCUUCACCGAGAAUCUGAUAUGAUCCAAAAGCGUAGAGAUCAAAGCAGGAAAAGAACUGCUGCUUUUCUCAACGAGUCUCCCCCGCCAUUGAUGGUCUGAUGUGAUCUUAAGAAGAACACCUCGUCCUUUCCCUGUGAAGGCUAGUGCAUAGCUGCGCCCUCAACCGUGUAAGUUAUUGUCCCCUUCGUUCUUCAUCUUGCACGCAACCUUUGGCUAAACCGGACGACGAUUGACGGGUGAUCGGACCGGCUGAGGGUUUGGCCGUGGCCGGAGUGCGAAGGGGUACGUGGAAAUACGAGCUCAGACUUGGUUUUCCGAGCUGUGUGACCUUUGGACGCAACAGUGAGAAGGCUGUUGAUGCGUGUCAGGUCUGUUUCCUGCCGGAUUCUAACUAGUGUAUCACCACGAGAGAGAGAGAGAGAGAGAGAGAGAGAGAUAUAUAUAUAUAUAUAUAUAUAUAUAUAUAUAUAUAUAUAUAUAUAUAUAUAUAUAUAUAUGUAGGUGAUUGUUCGAAAAAAUAUUUUUCUUUUUGAGUUUUUUCAGAUGAUAACUUUUUAAAAAUUUUUAAACCACCAUCUCUAAUUUUAACAAAUUUAAAAAUACCCCCACAAUUAUUCAUAUUGUUUUUCCAUACAAAUUCAAAGUCUUUUUUCGUCAACUUAGAUUAUUUUUAUCCAUAAAUAUUGUCUAUAUUGUGUUUUUUUUCAAAAAUACUGGGACAUUAAAAAUACUAUAUGAUGUUUUUAAAAUAAAAUAGUAUACAGGAUUUUAUGUAUAAAAAUCAAUCCACAAAACACUAAACAAUUGUUGUAAAAAAUUUUGGAUUUAAGCGGAAGAUGUGAUACAUUUUUAACGAAUAUUUUUGAAAUAUUAGAAAUAAGGGGUGAUGGUUUUUUUUUUUUUCUUUAGUACCAUUCAGAAAAAAUCCAAAAGAGAAUAUAUAUAUAUAUAUAUAUAUAUAUAUAUAUAUAUUCUGAUCUACUGAACAUGUACGGAACAUGAUGGUUAAGAUACAAACAAAAUUCGAAAUCACCCUAAUUUGAUACAUGAUUCAGGCCCAAAAAUAUCAUUAAAGUUCAUAUAAAGUUUAGUAUAAUAAGUAGGAGGUCUAGCCAAUGAUUAUUCUAUAACAUGAUUAUUCUUUGGCUUUAUAGCCUCUGAAAGCUAAUAGAAAGAUCACUCAUGAUGGAUUAUCGAGGGGAAUGAAUAGUAGCAUUUAAGAUUGGAUGAUAAGAUGAUGGGUGAACUAUUUAUUUAGGUCACAGCAAGAUUAGGCUGAUACAGCGUCAAAAGUGUCGCCAUGUCAUUGAUAGGAAAUAUUCCCCGUGCCACCCACCCCAUUGCAUUGCCACUUGGCAUCGGUGUUGUUGGAUGCAUCAGUGGUUUUAGUAGGGGGUGGGAUCCGACACCCCAGCGUGGAAGAGAACAUAGACAACUAUUAAACCUGUGACGACGAGCACAGGAGGAACCGAUGCUCCCAGCCAACAACUGUGGCAGACAGGUGGAAUCAAAGUGAGCUGCAAACUCGGAAGACGACUGAUCCUCUCAUGCUCGUCCACGUUAAUCUUUUUCAGUAAAAUCCAGUAGCAUCACCUGAACCAACGUGGAACAGUUUCGCCACUUGUCUCGAUUUGUCUCUUCGUCGAUCCUUUCUCCGAUCGACGGUGCCGGCAAUGAUAGAAAUGGAUUUCACCGGUCUGCCUGCCCUUCAUACUCAUUCAAUUAUUUUCUAUUAAAUAAUAUUUAUUAUAUGUGGAUACAACAAAACCAUAUAGUCACUAUGGAAUGCCCAUAUCUAAAUAAAUUGAAUUAUAUUCAUUAUUAUUUGUAAAGCAAGGAAUAAUAAAUGGCUAAGAAAAAAGAAGAAAACAUUAAGGACUAAUGAUGAUUUGAGAUUUUGAAUCCAAAGUUGUAGCAUUCUCUCCCUCUCGGAAUUGCAGUGAGAAUUUAUAGGCCAUCAAAGAAAUGUAAGCAUCGUGUAUUUUAUGGUGCUAUUUUAUUGCCCGAUGUGAUGUCAACCAAAUUCUUAGCUAUUUAAAGAGCUCCGCCCAUGUCUUGCGACUCGACACAUCGCCACGGUGGAGCAAUGUGAGCUGCUGGGGAAAAGGUCUCUUGUCUCGUGUCCCUGUCUCCACCGUUCUCCUCCCCCCUUCCCACCCCUUUACUGGUCUUGCAACUUGCAGCUUUCUUCACCGACAGUGGUUGUGGCCCUGCACUUCCAUCCUCUUUAGGUUCCCAUCGCUUCUUCUCUUGUGAAGUUGGUUCCCUCCCUGGAUUCUGUGGUUGCCAUGGGAUCUGCAAAGAGAGCUUCCUUCAGUCCACUCUUGGGUGGCCAUGGGAUGUGAUUAGCUGCCGACUCAUUCAUCCACAUGCCCGGUAAAAGGGACGAUGGCUUUGCCGGGCACAUGAGUGAAUGAUGCGGGAGGUGAGUCGGAUCCCAUGCUGCCUUUGCUUGGACUGAAGGGAGCUCCCUUCUCUACUACCCCCCAUUCCCCCUCCCCUUGCAGCAACGAAACUGGUUAUCCAUCGGUUGACUUGCUGUGUUUGAUGUUACUUGAUCUCUUUUAGGAGAAGGUUUGGUGUAAGUCGAUGAUCUAUUUAUCGGUGGAUCUUUUGAUAGACAGCCACACCUUUUGUAGAUGGUAUUUUCACUACUUAUUAGGAUGUUCACAAUCCAAACGAUGAAAGUUUUAGGAAGCAUUUUGUAGUUUAGGGUUCCAAGUAUUUUCUGAAACCAAACAGUUGGCUUGCCAUAGACCUAAAAGGACUUUGGUUUCCUUCACAAACAAUGACUAUUCCAGCUCUGGGAAUACAAGUAGCGAGUGAUGAGUUCAUCCAAUUGUUCCAGUAUAGAUCAGGGAUUCAUAUUUCUAUUGUUGAAAUUGUUUUUGACAUCAAUAUGGAGCUCGAUGUGGUCCUUGUGUUCUGUGGCAACCAUCGACUAUAUUGUGAUUCACAUACAGUCCUUUUUCAUGCAGGCUAUCUUCUCUCUCUCUCUCUCUCUCUCUCUCUCUCUCUCUAUGGUGCAUGUAAAAAACCCUAGGACCACCAGCUUAAUUGGAACACAAGGAUCAUUUGAGCUUUCUCUUUAUUGCUUCAAGUUCUUGUAGCUCUGCCAUGAGAGUUGUGUGUUCAGGAUAACAUGUGUUCUUCGAUGCAGAUUUAGUCCAUGAGUUAUCUUCAACAAAAAAUCAUCAUUAUGCACUAAGAAUGAAUAUAUUAUAUAUAUGUGCAUAAUAUAUAUUAAUCAUUCUUGUUGGGAGUUUUAGCUUUUCUUGCUAGAAAUAAAGACAACCGCACACCAUCUGCAUGUGAAUUUUGUUUCUCUUGUGUUCUUGGCCUUUAAGAUUGCGAGGAUGUAUUCUACUUUCAAGUUGUCUAACUCACACUCGUAAAUUAUUUCUAUAGAUAUUCCUGCUUUGUUGUCUCUAUUCCCGAGUUUCAUGGAUUGUCAUGUCUACAUUUUUGGAUGAAGGUAAGUAAAUGGUUAGAUCACUGCAACCCCAUUCUAUCUCCAUAUUGUUUAUGAAAAGCCUAUUUUUCGGAACCUCUCCAUGUAUUUGCCAAAGAGGAAGGACGCCUCUGCUAUGUAUGUCCUCACGGAAAGCUUUGUAUAAGGAUAGAUGAGCUUGACAUAUAAUGAGUGCAUUCAUUACGCACGGCCGCAAUUGUCGAACGCCCUUUGAUGAAUGCAUUUGGUCAGUAAUUCUUCCUUGUUUCUGUUUGUGAAGUGAAAGUGCUUCUUCGAUCCUCACUCGACUGUAUUACUCCUAUGCAGAAGGAACUCUUUGUGGUACCGACCACUUCUCACCCGAGUUUGCUUCUCAAGUCUACUCCUUGAUCUAGUGUUAGAUUUCUGGUUCCUCGUAUCUAUUACACCUUCACUUCAGCUAUAACAGCAAUCAUGUUUAGCUGUUCUUCCUGGGGAUCAUGUGUGCCUCCAUGAUCCUAAUUUUAUAUGAAUGCAUUUCUUGUGCAAUGCAACGAGUUGUGUCUGGCUGUUCCCGAUUUGUUCGUACCACAGAUAAUUCAUAACAUGUUAAAAGUUUCAGUUCCAAGAUCUUAGUAGCUGCAGUUGUUUAUGGAUAUCAGCCAGCCACCUCUAUCUACCUUUUGAUGCUGUUCUUCCAAAUGUCAUCUGGUGUUGCUAUUCCUGAUACUGAGAUGUGACGAAUCAAGCACCAGGUGUCGUCUGUAUAUUUUGCUUGACUAGUUAGUUCUUGAAGAGAAGCUGCUUCGAUUGGAUCUCCGAGUUCCAGUGCGUACGUACGUUGUUUGUUGGCCUUGAAGGCAUCUCCUCCUUGACGUUGUUGAAGCACACCAUGCAUGGUCCGUUGGCUACUCUGAGAUGUGUAUCAGUCAUCGUCUUCUUCAGAGCAGCAGAUAGAUAGAUGAUGAAACCCUAACCCUAAGUGAUUAAGCUGGCACUCGCGGCUUCCUUUCCCGAUGCCGUGGGAGGUGGAUGGCAAUAAAAAAGAGAGAUCACGAAGCCUCAAAUCUUCCCAGUCUCGCAUUGGAAACGGAUUGUCUGGUUUCAUGCUUCGCCUCCCCGGUGGAGCACUUCCGAGUUCCAAGCAACGUGGGGUGCAUGAAAGCCACUUUGGCCCGUUCUGCGAAGCCACCUCUCCAUGCUGUCCUUUUACCACCUUUUUCCCAAGGCAAAAGCUGGGCGACACUUUAUCACACUCGACUGCACUCGCGCCCAGUAGUUGUUUCCUUUGUAACCAUCCAUCGAGAUAAUCUCAUACACACACAGACACAGAGAGAGAGAGAGAGAGAGAGAGACUCAUACACCCACGUACAGAGAGAGAGAGAGAGAGAGAGAGAGAGAGAGAGGGAUUGAUUCUUAUUAGGAGGAGGUGAAGAUUGUUUUGCUGAAGUAAAAUGUAAGAUAAAGAUAAAAAGUUCAGAAUCCUAUAAUUGUUUUCUUAAAAUGAAAUCUCUUGGGAUAUUUUUUACUUACUUUAAUAUUCAUUCCUGUGAAUAUAUUUAUUAUGUGAUCAUCCAAAAUAUUUUUUUUAUUAAAAUUUUUAAAAAUAAAUCUAAUAUGAUGUUCUAUCUCUUAAGUUGGGAUUUAAAAAAAGGUAAAAAAAAUUAAUCUAUUUUAGAUAAUUAAGUCUUUAUUAUUAUUAUUGUUAUUUUGUGUUUUUAUUUCAAUUAUCGUAUAAUAAUAAUCGGUUACUUUUCAACAAUGAAUUUUUAUUUAUUUUUUUUAUCUUUCGAUAAUAGAUUUCUACUCUGUGGGUUUGCACGUAACGAAGCAGAGUCUGUACUUUCUUUUUCUUAUUGGGAAACGUAAUCGGACACAACAAAGUGACACAAAAGAGUUGCUGUCACCGACACAGACUAUUAGGGUUUUGUACUUUGGAGUAGAGAGAUGUGUGAUUCCUGUUGGGAUAAAGAUUGAGAUUCGUGCGAUCAGCAAUUUAUGUUUUCUUCUUUUUCCAUUUUUAUUAUUCUUUGAGAAAUUUUUUUGGAUUUCUAUAUAUAUUGGAAGAAUUGUAAUCUUUAAUUCCAAUAUUAAUGGUGAAUUUGUUCCAUUUCUAAAAGCUCAAACAUUAUUUUGAUUACAUGAGUAGAUAGAUCAUCUAAUGCCGAGAUCUAAAUCGAGCAGCCUGAAAGAAAAAAAAUAAUCAACAGUAAACUAAAUCUUAAAUGGCUUGAUUUCUAGCCAUAUUUGUAUCAAAAAAUAUUUCAUGACAUAAAUCUUGCACACUUUAUUUACCUAAUAACAAAGACAUGAAAAGAUGAAUGCCAAACUUGUGUUCCAACAAUCGAACUCAUGCAAAGCUUUGCUAACUGUUCCAUAUGUUCAUAAAUAGUUUUACAUUUGCAUAAAUAGUUUCUUACAGUAAGUGAAGUUUUUCCACGUCCGAUGACAGCUUUUGUAGUCAAAAGCAAAAGCUGUUCCAUUGCAGGUGAGCCUCAAAUAGUUGUUCUAAAGCAUGUUGGCAUCAGAGACAUCAAAAUUUUCUGGAAAUAUUUUCGAGAGAUACUCCUGAAAAUGGUUCGAGUACGCUCUGGGAUUUAAUCCCGAGACCGACGGAGAGUCUGCGUGCAGAGACUUUAUAACGUGUUCCAUGUGCUUAAGCAUGCUGUAAGGUUGAAGGAUGUCGAUUACCCCCAAGAAGAGGAACACAUUGUUGAGUUGAUUUUUCCCCGUGGCAUGAGUUGGUGGUGCCAAAUUGCUUUCCUUUUUCCGAGAGCCGACCGCCCGGGCUGCCAUCCGGACACCGAGUAUACCUUCGGUUCUGCAACCAAAGAUCAGUUUCUGCAUUACAACGCCAUUUGAUCAAUACGGCACAUCAUCGAUGGAGCAUAUGUUGUACAAUGCACAAAGAAGAAAUAAACUAGAAGAUAAUCGACGAUCUAUAUUGGUUCUAACCGGAGAACCUAUCGAUGUGUUCCCACUAACUGCAAGAAUGAGAGAAAGGUAUUUUACUCUGUAGGAGAGGAUGAGGAUGAGUCGUCGCCAUCUGAUGGAAAACUUUGAUCUGCAUGGCUGUGCUCUGAUUCAGCUCCAUCUGAACUCUUGUCGCAAUCAUCUGUGCCUGCACGGAAUAUGCACUGCACUUCUUAGUAAUAAUUCCCCCGUUCAAAAAUACCAACGCCAAUAUUAUUUUGCAUGACAUGGAAAUUUGUAAAGAAAUGUAACAAAAAAAAUCUGAUUUAGUAAAAAAUUCCUAUUAUUAUUUACCAAUAUAGUUUCAUUUCCUCAUUGCAUUUUUUUCAUCCAUUAUUUCCUCCAUAUCCAACCUUCAUAUUCUUUGGUGCAUUUGAAAAUAAGUCCUCUAUACUUUAACUCAUACACAGAUUGAACAAAAAAAUAUAUAAAUCCUUCAAUUUAACUAAACUACAUGUAAGAUUCUUUUUUCUAACAUGGAUUUGAACCCGAGAUAUAUCGACCACGUAAAAUUGAUGCACCAAACAUUAACUGGAUGGGGCCUCUGUUCAAUUUUAGUUAUGAUCCUAAUCCGACAUAACUGGAUAGGGCCUCUGUUCAAUUUCCUGUCCAUCGUUUGGUUUGGAUCCUGUGCUGCAUGGUUGGUGGUACCUGAACUCAACCAAACCUGAUAUCAUCACGAUAUGCAUGUGAAUUUAACCCUAAUGACAAUGCAUAUCUUUAAGAAGAAAAAGACAUCCAAGACCUCCCACAUUGGACUAUGAUAUCUGGUCAUAUCAAGAGGACCGAGGCACCUAGAGACUAUUGAAGCCUGUUCCCCAAGUUAAAUAGUUUUUAUUAUUGAAAGACAACAUUCAACAUGUUUUUACCUGCUGAAUUUGCCGAAGAGUGGUGAACCUGAAGAAUAGCCUCAAAAGGUGCAGAACAAAUAUGCAUUCCGAGAAGGAGAGAGUAGUGCAUGAUGCCCUCUUCUUCCAAAAAAUUGCAGUCAUGCUUUAAUUGUCUGAAACAAGGAAAUUGAAGAGUAAGCAAACUAAGAAACAUCAAGUAUAGCAGAAUGGUGAUUGACUAUAGCACAUCAAGAGUAAGCUAUCGAAAUGCCUGCUUGAUGACAUAGCACCGAAUCAUAACAAGACUUUAAACAGAUACAAUCCAAUGAUCAACCUGAUAAUCAUAAAAGGACUCAGACCUAUAUACUAAAGCUCACAUGAGUGGCAUUCUCAUCACUGUCUGACCCAAGGUAACAAACACGACAAGAACAUAAGAAAUGGGUAGAUAUAUUGUAAAAGUUCAUUAAUUUUUCCUAACUACACAGAAUUACAAUAUGUUUCUUUCUGAAUCACUAGCAUCUGUCAGUGGAAGAAAUACAAAUAACCACACAAAAUCCAAUUUAUCAUGAAAUUGAAGAUUUUAAGUUCUCUAGAGGAUUAACAAAGAUGAUUUGGUCAAGAAAUGAUAUCUUUCAAGCCAUAGAAACUUAGAAACUCACGUCAGAAGUUUAUGCCGAAGAGAUGUAUGUAAAUGAAAAGUCAUAUUAAGAUCUUCCUCAUCUCCCGUUUUGUGCACAUGGUGGCUAUUCGGUGAAUCUCUGAGAACAAAAUGCUUGUGAAUCUUUAAAUCUGACUGAAGAAUAUUUCCAAUUACCACAAAGCGAACCUGUUAAGAGCAACAUGUUACAUGAUCUACUAUUUAACAACCACUAAAUAUAUAAAGCAUAGAAACGAUAUCCUAGUAUAGCAUUAGUGUAAAAAGAAAAAAGAAUUUAACCCUUUGAAUAUAGAUAGAUAAAGCUUUAGUAUUUGCACAAAAGACUUCAAUAAUACAACAAAGAUUUCUGACUGUACCGCCUAGUUCACUCUAAGGAGAAGGUUUUCAUUUGUUGCAUCUUGCCCUCAAUAGGAUUGAGAAGCUCUACAGUGGCGAAUUUUAAAAAAAGUUCUACAUAAAAAAUUGUCUAACAAUAUAUUUUCAAUGUUUAUGUGAAACACUGGAUGUACUGCCACACUUGUCCUUUCUCAUAUUCAAACUACUGAGUCAGCUUUUCAAUAAGAUGAUUAGGUAUAUAUGGUAUGACAAGGCUCCACAAGACAAUCUGGUCAACUAAUUAGUACAUAAAACAUCAACAAACAGAACUAGAGAAAAAUGUGCACAGUUUUCAACUUUGCUCACUUCUACCAAUCCCUGACACGUCUUCCCUAUGACUAUUUAUCCAAAGGGAAAAGAUGUAAAUUUAAGAUCUCUUUAAGAUCUUAAAUACACUAGCACAAAAAAAUGUAUGGCAUGUUACUGUUUUAAAUUUAAGAUCUCUUUGCUCUUUCUCUGCCUCUAUUGUGACCUUCAAUUUUUUUUUAUAUUGUCUCACUUUAUAGUCACAGGUUACAUGUCUCUUUAGAGAUGUGCAAAUUUCCUUAGAUGAAUUUUCCAAUUUAAUCAAUAUCUCUUAUUGGUAAUCAUGCUAUCUCAAACUUGCAAUGAUUUGUUUCUUUAACAUUUUUUCUAAUAAGCAACAGAUGCCCGUUUCAACAUCCUUAUACAUGAUAUAGAGACCUUCUUUUUCCAAAUCGCAUGACACUUUGGCCUACAAAAAUACAACUAGGCUUACGAUUGUCUCAUAAAUCCUUUUACUAGUCUAGGGGUAUAUGAUAAUCAAACAGCAUCCUAGAUUUCCCUAUCAUGAAAAUUUUAAAUUUGCUUCUUGUAUAUUUGAUAUAGAUCCAAAACAUUAAAAUUCUAGAUCCCCUUUAUCAACAAUGUCAAAACUACUACUGAGAGAGAACUUACAAUAAGGGAGAUCUCGCUGAGAUAUAGAGUUUCUUGCCGAUGCCGAGGUCAGAGUGAAAGAAUAAGCUGAGGUUAGUCAAUUACAAUAAGAGAUUACUUUUUGAUGUUGACUAUUGAUAAUGGCAUGGCAAUGAUUUGUUAGCUCCUAACAAAAUGGAUGCAUGCCUUUUCUUUCUUUUUAUUCUUAUCCUCUUUUUUAUACAGGCAUGCCUGUCUCGUCUUGAUGGUGUUCCAAAGAAUAAUGACAUGAACAGGCUGUCUGGCAAUCAGUGAGGGAGAAAUAAUGCUGCCAACAAGGAAAUUCUUGCCUAUGAGAGCCCUGUAAUUUGCAAGGGUAAGAUCAGAAGAGACAAUAGAAUGGAUAGUUGUAAAAAUAUUCCUUAUUGUUUUCUUCUUCUCCCUCAUAUAAUAGUCCAUCCAUCUUAGGGUGAAUUCAAAGAAAGAUUGGUGGUUUAGGAAUAGCAAGCCGUAAGUUGCAGGUAAAGUCUAAUCGUCAAACGUUUAACUCGUUGAUUUUAUAUGGAGGGCUCAUGUGUAACAAAUUCAAAUGUAAUUCUCAGGAUAUAAAUAAGUCUUUCCUGUCAUUGCUGAUAUACUUGUCAGCAACAACUAAAACAAUUUUCAGUAAUAGGUGCAAUCAAGCCCCAAAAAUCUGAUUUGCAGUUUUUCAGGCUAUAUGAGAAAUUAGAAAUCAACUCUAUCCAACUUAUUUAAACGGGAUCAAAUUUUCUGUAAAAAAAACCAUAAAACUUUAUAAAGACUUUUCCUACCUUUAACAACUGAUUUGCAGUUUUAAACAUUUGAUGAAUUCAUACGAAAAAUAAGCAAACACUCUUAUCAUCAUAUGAGACCAGAAGUUAACUCAGAUAUAUCAUGUUCUACCUUUUUUCCACCUUGUGGCUGAACAACAUGAAGCCCAUAGAAUUUUGCAAGUAAAGUGUUAUUGUACUUCUUCACAUGGUGAUAAUAUUUUGGCAGUAGUUCUAAAAGGGCCUGCAAGAAUUAUUAUAUAAACAUCAUAUCUGCAGGUGCAAUAUAUUUUUUGAUGUACUAAAUGAACCUUGCAUUAAGGCUAAUCAUUAUGUUAACAAGAAACAUUUUGAUAAAAAGGCCCUCUAGAAGUGCCAGAUAGCAGGAAUCGUGUAGAUAAUUAACAGCUAUUAAGUAAUGGUAAAUAUGAUCAAGUGCAACAUAACAAAAAAUAAAUGCAUUUUGUUCUUCUCACCAGGUUUACUAGUACCUAAUCACGUUUUAAUAAUGUUCUCUACUCAGGUUUACUAGUACAAAAAUAAAUAGUUAAAUGCAUUUAUUUUUUUUCUUCUCUCCAUCUACUCAUAUCAUAUACCAUAGAUUUCACAUGAGUACAACACAAUUUACAGCUAGUCGAGUGGCUGAGUCAACUCCUUGUCAUAGUUGUCACAAGAUAUCUAUCAUGAAGUUACAUAUCUUUUUUUCUAAUCAUUACAUCAUCUAAGCUGUUUUGAAAGGUUAUUUCAAUGUUUUAAUAGCAAAAAUAGCAACGUUCAAUUAUUCCAGCAAACAUAACACAGUCAAAUGAUCGGAAAAAAUCAAAUAAAGCAACCAAUAUGAGCCGAGAAAGGAACUGAACCAUAAAGGAGACUAUGAAAGUACCAUAAAGGAGACCAUGAAAGUACCUUCAUGUGAGAUUUGCUUAUGAUCUUUAAGGCAAACCUAUUAUCACCGGAUAAAUGGAGAGAAGAAACCUUUUUUUUGUUUGAAAGGUGCCUUAAGGUUUCAUGACCACGUAUCACAUCGAUGUAUCCAUUAAUAUCAAUAUCAUCAAACUCUUGAAGUUUCCUACAAAAAGUUCAAAAAGAGUAUGUAGAACAGUAAAUUCAGUGGAGACAAAACAGCCCAGUGAACUAAAUGGUAAUGCAAUAUCCUAAGAUGACAAAGAAUGUUUCUUAGAAUCAUAGCUAGCCAAGAAAAUAUUAUCAAUAGUACAAUCUCUCUUUAAAUUUGCAGAUACAAAUGGCAAGUAUAGACUAAUGAAAAACGAUGGUGAAAGUUGUAUUCUGCAAUUAACAUGCCAUAACCUCUUUUAUUUAACAAGUUCACAUUAAAAAGGAGAUAAGAUGUAUUUUGUGCCUACUCUUUUAUUCUUUAAAAUCUUAUAAACCAAUGAUAAACACAGGACAUCCUUGAAUGCACUUUGUCAAUAUCUGAUUGCAAUUUGUUGCAAAGAAAGAAGUCAUUAAUAUCUAAUAUUUAUUUAAUCAGAACAGAAGAUUAGCAUGCCCUCUUCAGAAAAAAGGUUUUGGCAAGAGUCACUGUGAACCUGAAAACAGCAGUACUGUAAUCUGUCCACUCAAACUCAGUUUGUGUGCCUUUAGAAUCAAUAGAGCAGCGUAGCAAAAAAGUCGAAGUGGAAUUAAAAUCAUGAUAAGAAGGUUCCUGCUCCGACAGCACCAGAUUUUGCUCCAUGUUUUCCUAUAUGCCAAACAACAUAUAAUUAAUGACCUGUGCACUACAAAGACAAGAUUUCACAAGAUUCAAAUUUUAUUACGAAAAUAAACAGGGAAAUUGAGAAUUAAAUCAUAUGGCUGGAAAGGUUCAGCUUGCACAUAGAGUAGUAAUAUCGUGCAAGCAUAUAGAGGAAACCUUGACUUCAACUGAUAACAGCUUUCCAACUCGCUAGUUGCUUUGUGAAUAAUCAGUUCCACUUAAAUUAUAUAUCACUUGUAACAUAAAAUUCAAGAGUGUUUACAUUCCAUGAUUGCUCGCUGCACAGUUACCAUUGGAAGAGAACAUCUAAAUUUCAGAAAUUGCAACAGAAACUUGCUAUUCUAUUGUAUAUCCCAAUUUGAAAGCCAAAGGUCAUAUGACAAAAAUUAUAACUAAGAGAAAAUUGAGUGGUAUAGCGUGUACGUAACCUCUUCCCUAAAACUAUAGAAGAGAAAUUAAAUGAAACCUUUUGGUCUGUGCUUGAUCCACUAUCUCUCUAUUUUAGUUAAUAAUAUAAAAACCACAAAUAUAAACUAACACCAUAUGAACAAAAUGACGUAAAGAAAUAUCGAAAUUCGGCAUAAAACCAUUCCUGUGAAGUUGGUUAUAGAUGCUUGAUGCAAUUCAUGUUAGAUGCAUUUGUACAAAUACUUGUCUUGCAGGAAAACAGAGAGGAGGGGGGGGGGGGGGUGGGUGUGGGAGGAUAGUUAGACAUUUGAUUGUGCAGAGAAGAUGCCAUAACUCCAUUUUUAUGGUUUACUUCUACAGGAAUCACGUUAAUUAACAGCCUAUAAAGUAGCAAAAUGGCUAUGAGAAGAUUUCUAUCUUUCUAAAGACUACUUUUCAUCAUAUUUGGAAGGUUCUUUGUCCCAGUAUCCUCACACUACAAGACAAAUGUGCAUAAGCAUACGAAUGUUAGGUAAUACUGUGUCAUGCUCGAUACAUCAGAUUUGUUGAUUUGUCAAUAGUAACUUACACUUCAUCUGAACUGGCAUCUGUCCCUAUUACCCACCAAAACACCAACCAACUAGAAUAAGCAGUUUCAGAUCAGAGCAGCUAACUAUAAGCAUCAGAAAGAUUAUAAAGCCAUGGCGACAAUUUUUUUUAAGACCUGUUUAAGUUGUGCAUACCGAGUUCAUCUAUGAUUUAGCAGCAAGAAGCUGGAAACAGUAAUCAAGAAGGAAAAAGGUAGAACUGUUUGGUAAUUGCAAAAAUGUAAACCUAACAUUGGAAAGAAAUUGGCAAACUUACCAAUAUAAAAAUGAAAAAAAAACAAAUAAUAAAUCAACAGCGAGUCAGCAACUAUAAAACACCAAAACUUCGCCUAGUCUUCGAUUUGGCAACAGUUGAAAGUCUUUCAGGUCGAGACCGCUCCCGUCGAAUCCAAGGACCUACAGCACCUCUGACGCAAAGGGGGCAUCUGUUUUCGGAAAUCAAGAAUGCUACUGGACCAAUUCCAAGCCCCCAGCAACGGGAUGAUCGAGGGCACGGAACCAAUGGGGCGAAGAGAAGAAACCGGAAGGGAAGGGGAGACAAGGGUCAGGAACGUACCGAGGGAGGCGUUAUCGGGGGGAGCGGGAGCGGAGGCAGGAGGCAGGAGGCAGGAGGCAGGAGGCGUGGAGUGGGAGUAAAUGUGGAGGGCGGAUGUUCUAAAUAGGGGGAGAAGGAGUCGAGAUCGAAGCAGCCGGCGAGGGGAGGGCUGGGAACAGCGUGGAAUCGAUGCGUCAUCGUUGGCGGAAGGGAAUGGAGGGCCGACCCAACGCCCAUUUCGUUGCUUGACAUGGAAGGAGGCGGGGAGGGGAAACAACGGUUAAAACAGUUACAGCAUUUUCCCGCUGUUUUAAUUUUGGCAUAGGAUAUAUAUAUAUAUAUAAACAGAGGUUUUUAUUUUAUAUUUUGAAAAUAUAAAAAAACACACACAAAUAUAAAAACAGAGGUCUUUUAAAAAAAUAUUUUAUAUAUAACUUUUUUUAAAUAAACCUUUUAUUUUUUUCUCAUAAAACCUCUCCUGUUUUUUUAUUUUUUAUUUUUUUUUCAAUUCAAUCUUUCCUUUAAUUGAACUAAGUCAUUUAUUUAGAGCCGACAACUCAAAAUGUCGAUAGAAUUUAAGUAAUAUUAAAUUUUAUUUGUUAAAUGAAUAGAUUAUAUAUAUAUAUAUAUAUUUAAAUUAGUAAAAAUAGUCAUAAAAUUGAAAUUAUAAAUAUUUAACAAGAUUGUGCUAUUUUUAAAUUUAAUAAAAAUCAAUAAAAUCUCAUUAAGAACAGUAUAAUUAAACAACAUAAUUUUUUAUAAAAAUUAAAUGAUGAAAACGAAAUUUGAGCCUAAAAUUUAGGCUGAUUUAUCACUAUUAUAUAGGCUAAUCAGUAUAUUCAAAAAAAUAAUUUUAUCCAAAAAAAUUAUACACUACUUAUGAAUAUUAAAUAGUUGUUCUAUUGAAGAUCAAUAUGAUGAUAUAAUUGAUGAAAGUAAAAGAAUAAUAUAUAUUUUUAACUUAAUUUGCUCUAAAAUGAGUGUAACUACUCAUUUUAUGUUUUAAAUAGGUGGUCUAAAAUAAGGUACCAUAUAUAUUAUAAUUAAGUAAAAUAUUUCACACAUUAUAAUCAAACUAAAAAACUAAUUAUCCAUAAUCGAUCGGGCUCGACAUAUAAAGUCAAUUUAGCUUAGAAAUAACGAUAUAUUAAGUGUGCAUACUACAUACAUCAUUAUAUUCUCGAACUUAGGUUUUUAUAAUUGCUAACCAUCGUAGAACAAAUGCCAGAAGAAAAGAAUUUUUUCGGUCAAACUUUGCAUGAUUCAUCAAAACAAAGUAAGUUGCUACUAUUAUUGCACCAAUCAUCCAAAUUAAGAUUGGUCGAUCGAACCCAAUUUGAUCCUAAUCAAGUCACGUCAUGAAUUUGGAUGAAGCUUCAUUUAUUAGACAUCUUCUAUGAUCGACUUCUUAAGUCAACUAUUUAUAUCACACUUUUAUUCCAAAUUGAGAUCAACUCCACCAAAAUCGAUGCUAACACUUUCCAAUUAUGGUCAACACUAAUAGCAUAUGAUAUCACAUAGACAUAUAUAUAUAACAUCUUUUCUUUGCGUAGCUGCAAAGUAUUCCUAUCUUCUAGAGGUGGAAGAAGGCAUGCCAAAACAACAAAAUUCCUUCCUAUAAUUAGUCAACAAUUCCACAUUGUUACUAAACAAUAUGAUCGUUACAACAUGACCAUCAUAAUAAAACGUAUUUUCAUACAUCAUGAUGAAUUAUUUAUUGAUUGUAAGUUUAAAUUAUUUCAAUUGCCAUUCAACUCUUAACAUUUAAUACACUCAUAUCAUGUUAAAUUAUUUUAUUUGAAUUAAAAAUAUAUCAAGGUAUAAAAAUAACUAAGAGUUUUAGCUAUAUAUAUAUAUAUAUAUAUAUAUAUAUAUAUAUAUAUAUUGUCAUGUGUUUGUAACAGUGGCACAUACUAUAAUAUAACAGCCUAAAAGUGACUGUUUCAUGAUAACGGAAGAAUAUAACGAUUUGGAGGUGCAUACCGUUAUAUGAACUCCAAUUUUACGUUCCUUAAAGCGUUAUCAUAAUAUAUCACGAUUCGAAGGUGCUCGUAACACCUGACUAUAACAGUUUCAAGGGGAAAGGGGGUAUGUAAAAGGCAUGUAUUAUACGUCGGGACGGAGUGGGGUUAUUUAGGGCUCCAAAGACGACUCUUUUCUCUAUCUCGGUCGGGAGAGGCGGGAAGUUUGCUCUAAUUGGACCCAACCCUUCUUCUCUAGUCCCUCCUCUGACCUUGCAAGAGUCCGAUAGGGUUUCGUUGUCCCCGGAUUGAAGCGAUUGCGAGCUCUCGAUCCUCUUCUUCCUUCUUCUUUCGCAAUAGAUCGUUCGGGCGACGGCGGGAAUUAGGGUUCGGGAGGGGUUUUGGGAGGAGGAGGAGUAGGGACGAUGCCGAUGGACGCGACGGUGCUGGAUGAUAUCAUACGGCGACUUCUGGAGACCAAAGGCGGGCGGACGGUCAAGAAUGCGCAGGUGACGGACCCGGAGAUCCGGCAGCUCUGCGUCGCAUCGAAGGAGGUCUUUGUCAGCCAGCCCAUUCUGCUGGAGCUCGAGGCCCCCAUCAAAAUCUGCGGUAAAUUGGCAAAACAAGAUUUGAUUUUUAUCGUGGUUUCGAAUCCUUUGCUUUUUCUUCUGUCAUCGGAGGCACGAUGUGUUCUUUUGCCUAUUCUGCUUUCUUACGCGUUCGAACUGGAGCGUCUUUUCGUUUUCGGUUUGAUAUCCGCUGAGACCAAGAUUGAUUGGUCCUGAUAACCGAAAUCUUAGUAGGAAUACCGAUGCCAUGACUGUCAUCCUUGCUUAAUGUGUAGUUGAAAUGGCUUGUUCUUGUUAUCUUUGCCAUGCGGCCCGCUACUACUUGUUUUAUUUUUUAUGGCGCCGAAGAAAGACUUCUGGUCAGAUUUCUUAUAUCUUUCAUUUGACACAUGUCGUUGAUAUCUGUAUGGUGUCUGGAACUUCGGCGUGCUGGUGAAGUCUCUGGCUAAUAGUUUGAUAAUCUUGGAGUUCUAAUCGCAUUUGCUAUAACUAGGUCAUAAUGGUUGCCACAUGUCUUCAUACCUGCCAUAAACAUGAAGUUUCUAAGCUAAUAUGUGUGUAGUUUUCUCUUUUUCUAUUGCUGCGUUGACAUGCUAGCAAAGUAUGACAUCGGUUCUUAUCUAGGUACCUACUGCUACUCUCUAAGCAGUUCCUGUAAGAUAUCAUUUUUAACAAUAUGAAUAAAUUGUUUUCUCUUUGCAUAUAUGUUCAAACUUUGGAGCAACCAGGCCAUAACAAUUUGCUUCUCUUUUUUUUGCAUUAGCUAUGAAUUGGGGUCCAAGUUAAAACUGAUAAUUAAUAAUGCUUGAUUUUCUAGGUUUUACACAAUCGUGUUUCGAUAUUAGAUAUUGUUCUCAGUUUGAGAUUAAAGGGCUGUCGCUAUGUGGUCUCUAUAAUGCAAUGAAUGUAACGGAUUCCAAAGUCCAGGUUUUUAGAAAAUGAUACUGGUACCGAUACUAAUCACCACUUGAUAGUUGCCAAAGGUGUUAACCUUUUUGAAUCAAUCAAGUUUAAAUACCUUUUAUAAUCUAGUUAGGGGCUUUGGAUAGUUUUAACAAUAAACAAAAAGCCAACUGAACCAUAUCCUCUUUUCCCCUUCAUUGUUCUGUGAUCUUAGCUAUAGAGUUCUCUUUCCUUUCUUGGUUUGUUUGGCCUCUGGUUCUCCUAAUUGAGGUUCUUGUCUGGCAUCAUGUAAUCUAAAGAAGAUGAGCCUAAGGGAUCUUAUGUAACAUAAUACAGUUGAGAUUCUCUUGAUGUCUUUUUGUGUGAUGACCUUAAUUUAUUUUUAAAAUUGAAUUAGUCCAAACAAGUCUUUAUUGGUCACUUUGGCAUAGAGGUCAGUACGUAAUCAUCCAUGUUAAAAUGAAAGGUUUGAUAUGCGGGGGCAUUCUGUUUGAUGGUUGUGAAAUGUUAGAAGUUUAUCAUCAGAAGUCGGAGCACAAAUCAUUUUGAACUCAAAACGAUAAGAUGAUUUGGUUGAUGAGCUGCUGAUACAGCAGUGGCUAUUGUGUGUUGAGGAUUGUAAGCAUUAUAUUAACAGCCUUCCUUUUCAUAUAUAAUGGAGAAAAUUUGGUCUACUUGCAAUAAUUAUGUGGUGGCUAAACAUUUAAUUAGACUGUAGAGUGGAUUGGAUUCCAAGCAAUCAUUUGAUAGAUCCAUUGUAGUAUUAUGUUGCUUAGUUACUCUACUGAAAACUGUGGUACUAAAGCUUGUUUGUAUAUUAGUGUGUCCUUAAUGAUGUCAAAAAGCUGAUGUCUGCUCGAUUUUUGUGCCUUGUCGGAAAUUAAUUGGGAUUCUUUGUCCUUGCAAUUUUUUUGUAGUCUUUAUUGCUGCUAUUUUCAUAAGAAUAUGUAAUUGGGACAAAUGCUAUUUCACAAGAAGUUGCAGCCUGAUCCUGAUCUGUUCUCUACAUGUCUAGUGCUUGUGUUGUUACUCUCCUAGAGAAUUGAUAGUUGCCUGAUAAGGAUGCGGAACACAAAUUUUUAUUUGUAUUGUACCAAUUCAGAACUCCAUCUCAACAUACUAACUUUGGUGACUGCAGGAGAUAUUCAUGGCCAAUAUGCUGAUCUUCUUCGCCUUUUUGAAUAUGGUGGAUACCCACCACAAGCAAAUUAUUUGUUCCUUGGGGACUAUGUUGAUCGUGGUAAGCAGAGCAUAGAAACCAUAUGCCUACUCCUUGCUUACAAGAUUAAGUACCCAGAGAACUUCUUCCUGUUAAGGGGUAAUCAUGAAUGUGCUUCUAUUAAUCGUAUAUAUGGAUUCUAUGAUGAGUGCAAGAGGAGAUAUAAUGUUCGUUUGUGGAAAGUUUUUACGGAAUGUUUUAACUGCCUUCCGGUUGCUGCACUUGUUGAUGACAAGAUACUGUGUAUGCAUGGGGGUUUAUCUCCUGAACUAAAGAGCUUGGACCAGAUCCGAAAUAUUGUUCGUCCGGUGGAUAUUCCAGACCAAGGUCUCCUUUGUGACUUGCUAUGGUCAGACCCUGACAAAGAUAUCGAGGGUUGGGGAGAAAAUGAUAGAGGUGUCUCUUAUACUUUUGGGUCUGACAAGGUGGCUGAGUUUCUUCAGAAGCAUGAUCUAGAUCUCAUCUGUCGUGCCCACCAGGUUAGCUGUGGUACACUGAAAUUUCAUUUAGGUCGCUAUUCAUUUUGCCUAGCUGUUGAAACAAACACAAACAGCAUAUUGGAAAAGGAUAGACUUUUGUUAUGCUUUUGCUCAAUUUAGUAUCUCCAGAAAUGUGAUUCCGAUGUAGUAUUGCUAACAUCGAAGCAGAUGAAUCAUAGGACAGUGAUCUUCAGUAACCGUCCGCUUGCUGGAAACUUUAUUGAAUGAAAAAAUCCAAUCCAACUGUAAUGCAUAUGGUUAAUAUCUUUUGGCAGGUUGUGGAAGAUGGAUAUGAAUUCUUUGCAAAGCGCCAACUGGUGACAAUAUUCUCUGCCCCAAACUAUUGUGGGGAAUUUGAUAAUGCUGGUGCUUUGAUGAGUGUAGAUGGCACUCUGACCUGUUCGUUUCAGAUACUUAAACCAGCUGAUAAGAAAAAGGGAUUUGGGAAUAUGUUAAAACCAGGAACACCUCCCAGGAAGGUAAUAAAUUGGAGAACAUUUUGGCAUUUCACCAGUCAUGGAUGCAUACUAUAUUAUGGAUGAUCAUUCUGCAAAAAUAUGAUAUUUUGUUUCAAUCAUGUUUUUUCAGAUAUUGCUCAAUAAUUAUUGGGACUCUUCUCUUUCACAUGUCACUGUUCAUUUCUUUCUUCAUCUAUAGAAUUGUAGAUAAUGGAUUCCCACUGGUCAUAAAAUCCAUAUCAUUCAUGCAUAAAAAUUGCAACUAGUUAAGUGGCUUUUACCAAAGAUGAUAAUGGCAUGUUAUUUUCAUGCAUUGAACACACUCUCUUUAGAGAUCUUUAUAUGUUAGUUGUCUUAAGGGAUAUAUUUGUUUUCCUAUUUUUCAAAUCAUCUGAUGAGUUGGGUGUUUUGAGUUCUUAACCUUUUGGAUUUUUUCUUUUUAAUUUUAAGGUGGAUGUAUGCAAGCUGUCAUAAUGGUUUACAGUGAAUGGAUGUGUUUGGUAACCUGAAUAUGAAGCAUAUAAAUCAGCAAAUCUGCAUAGUCCUCUGAUCAUCAUCUAGGUUGGUAGAAGUUGCUGAUAUUUAGACUAAUAGCGUGGAGCCUGACAUGCAAUUAAUUGCUGCCGCUGUGGUUUAAUUUGUGGGAAUCUGUUUCAGGCCCUGAUCUGGAAUUCUUGUUUUUGCUCCAACUUGAUUUGUGGGUGCCUUUUGCAUUUUGUCUAUUGAAAGCUGAAUUUAUUUGUCAUGUCAUCUUCCUAACAUAGAACUAGGAUUAGUAUUUUUACAUAGAACAUACUCCAUAACCAUGUUUUCUUCAAAACCUUUCAAAAUGUUGAUUCUGUUGGAGCUUUUAAAUAAUAGUCUAAAGGCCUCAAAAGUUACUACGAUGCCAUCUAUUAAAUGUGCCUCAAAAUUUGUCAUUUGGUUUUCGUGGGACUUCUGUUUGUCGAGUAGAACCAAAUAUGCUAUGUGAAUGGUCAUCAUGCAGGAAGGAAACGUUCUUUUUAAUCCAGUCUUUGUUCUGAGUUUGAAUUUAAGAACUUGUGACCUUUUAGAUGCUUAUUUUUGUCAUAUAUAAAAAAUGAAAUUAUAUUGUCUGGUUUUUAUCAGGGAGGGAGAUGUUGACAUAUGAGGUCAUUCGAUGUGGGCUCUAUUCUUGGGACAUACAGAACCUUGCUUGAGGAGACGACUGCUUACCACCAUUCACGGAGUUGGAGUUUAAAGCCAGAAUCUGCGACCUUUCACGAUUGUUCUGACAUUGCCUGGCUGCCAAAUGUUGUGAAGCUGAAUGCAAAAGAUAACCUUGUGGUCAUGCCCUGUCUUAUAUUAGUUCAUGUAGUCUUUUAGUUGUUUAGCUCCGAUCUUAGAACUCAUCAAAUUGCUAAUCAUGAUCUAUUGUUGAAUGCUUGCUCUGAAAUCUUAACGCUUGCUCAUUUGCCGAAAACUGUGUUUAUUACACAAAUGAAUGAAGGAAUUUUAUAAUGUGUCGAAAUUUUCAUGUCCUUUAGGGAUAGUAAGGUUUCUUCAAAAAUCUUUGAUUCAAGGUUUGUCUUAUUGGUUUAUAAUGAUGUACCAACCAAUUAUUGGUAUGGUACUUAUCGAUAUAUCAUGUGUAUGUAUGGUGAGAUGCACUGGCAGUUUGAAAAAUAAAAAAGAUUGAAAGUGGUUUUAUGAUUUUUUAAAAAAUAAAAAAAAUUGAUUAAAGUUUUUAAGUUAAAAAUAGAUAUAAAUUUAAUAUAAUUUUAGUAAAAAUAAUUUAAAUUUGAAAGAAUAGUGGUAUAUAUUUUUUAAGGAUUUGAGAAGUAAUUUUAUGAUAUAUUUUAAAGUAUUUUUUAUUUAUAUUAAAUUAUUUAUAAAAAAAUAAUUUAAAUUAUUAUAUUAUUUGUUAAAUAAUUUAAAUUUUAAGAUUUAAAUAAAUCAAAUAAUUGAUUAAUAGUUAUAUCUGAUUUUAUCAUUAAAAAGAAUGAUGGAGGUCAUCGAUCUUAUAUAUUUAUAUAUGAAUUUGAUAUAUUUAUCAGACUAAUCCUGAAAUUGAUCCCAUGACAUAAUAUACUAAUGUAUCAUAUAUCAUUGUUGUAUCAAUGCACUGAUGAGAUAAUUAUAAUUAUGGUAUGUAUUGGUGUAGAGAUUGGAUAAUGCACGAACUUCUACGCGAGUGAUUUAUUGCUUUGUAUCGUAUGAUCAAUCACCAUACUUCAGCUCAAAGAAGAAUAAUCAACUAUCAUUGUACUGAUGUUGGUUAUAAUAUUCUCCAUAAUACGACGAUUGUAAAUAAGAUGAGCUUCACUUUAUAUUUGUCGUAUAAGCUCUAUCGCAUCUGCUCAAAAUCAUACACUACUUUCCUCUUUCCCUUUUGUAUAUAAACUUAACUAGUACUUCGUUGAGCUUUAUGAUCUGAAUCUUAGGUGGCAUAUGUAAAAUACUAUUUCUCAAUCCAUACAUCAUCCUCAAACUAUAUAAAUGAAACCAUCAACUCCCCAGCAUCGUCGCCAUCAUUGAUCUGGACACUAUUGUCAACAUUAUUGUCAUAUCUUCGGAUUAAACGAAUUAUUGAAUGUAAUUGUGAAGGUGUCUCAUCACCUGAAUCGAUUCUUUUCAAUAAUGUGGUUGAUGCUACUGUCUUCUUCUUUGUCUUUACAUGUUGAGUGGAUGAUUGUGAUGAUCGAGUGUCUCUAGUUUCUUGAGUAGUCUUGCUCGAUGUUAUCCGACUCCUUCUAUCAAAUUUUGAUCAAGAGUGAUCUUCCUUCUGUUAGGAAUGUGCUUCCUCUUUUUUCUAUUACCUCGGUAAUAAAACACGAAGGAUGUGGAGGAUCUCUUGCCUCAUGAAAUAGAGGAUCUUCAUGGUUCUUCAUUGUUUUAACUUACUCUAACAUCGAUUGUAAAUCUUCAUUAUAGUAUUAGAGGUCGAUGGGUUAAUCUCUGGUUUCUCUAGCUUAUUGUUCAAGUGUCGACACACCGUAAUCUUAGCCGCAUGUUGUAGUUGACAUAUACUAAUUUUUCAAUUAUUUAUAUGAUAAUAUAUUACAAACUUUCAUGUGAAUCAAUGUGAACAUUAACCAGUUACGUUCGUAAUCACUAGAUGUCAUUAACAGUGAAAGUACAUGGACAACAAUACUUCCUUAAAUUUAGUGCAUUUCCUCCGAAUUAUAGCCGCACUCGAAUGAAAAAAAAAAAUAAAUAAGACAUUGUUAGCAUAAUAAAUAAUUAAUAUUAAAUAUUAUUUAUAAUCAAUAUAUGUGUAACUUUUCUUUACCGAAUUCAAAUUAUAAUGAUACGAUACAACUACACAAUUGGAGAGAUGAAUCGAUUAUUUCUUGAAAUGAUUGACCCUCCAUAAUAACAUCGAUAGUAUUUGACAAGAGUCGAUAUAUAAUAUUUUUUAAUAUCAAUAAUAAAUCUGAUCACAUUCUAAGACUAUAUCAAAUUGAAUUAUCAUAUUUAGAUAGUAAGCCACAAGACAUAUAAUUUUAUUAAUAAUUUUUAAAAAAAUAUUAAAAAAUAUAAAUUAAAUAACACUGAAUAUGAAUUUAUCUGCAUUAUGGAUGUCUUGGUCCAUGUGAAUUUUGAUCAUGCGAUUGAUGAUCUAUUCUUGUGAGGUGACCACUAUCCCGAGAUCGUAUCUCUUGUAUUGACUUUAAGAUAAUAAAAUUUAUAAUAUAAGUAUUUUACAUCAUACUAUCUAAUCAUUUGUAUAGUUAUGCAUAUCCAAUGAUGAUUACAUAUUUUUAAUGAUCGAUUAUGUUUGAGCUAUACAACCGAUGAUAAACAUGAGGCUUUUCAUGGCUUGUUUAACCUCAAACAGAUUUAGGAUGGGACUUAUUAUUGCUGUGUUUUGUUGUGAAGCUGCGCCUGCUCGCGUCCAACAUACAAAUGAAGAGUGGGACCCGCCUCCAGUCUGCUUCUAUGGCAGGUUGGCGAGAGGGGAAAGCCGAACGGGUAUUCAAGUCUGGUGACUAAACACCAAGUUUGAUCUAUGGCCUACUUUAACCUCACGCAGACUUCGAGGUUGACACCCGAGACGCACGUUUGUCUCCCGCAUCUCGAUGAAGAGUGGGACCCACCUGUAGUCUGCUUCUAAGGCAGGUACACGAGACUGGUAAUGUAGAACGGGUCGCCGUAAAGAAAUACUCAUCCUUUAUUAUGGGCCCGGCUCGGCCCAACCAAUGCGCCUUGAGCGUCUUCGUUGGGCUCCACAGGCUUGGUUUGACCCGAUAUCCCCGUAUGAAAUCCCGAAGCAAAUGGCAUCCCGGCGGUCUCUCGCUUCGCGGCUAGGGUUUUACCGAGAGCAGCUCCGAUGGUAAACGCCUCUGCCUCUUCUCCUCUUCCUCUUCUGUCCGUCGUUGCCUCUCGAUCCCUAGAUGUAUAACCAGAAUGAAUCCCUGUUCAUUGGUUGCAGGGGAAGGGAACCGGCAGCUUCGGGAAGCGGAGGAACAAGACCCAUACCCUCUGCGUCCGCUGCGGCCGCCGCAGCUUCCACCUUCAGAAGAGCCGCUGUGGAGCCUGCGGUUACCCAUCCAGCCGGAUCCGCAAAUGUGAUCCGUUUACCCCUUCGAUCCUUGUUUUUUCUGUUCUUGUUACUCUUGGCUUAUGUGGAUUUUUCUCUUGUUUCGGGGAUUUGAUCUCUUAUGAUCGGUUUUUGGUUCGUCUGGAUUAGAUAACUGGAGUGUGAAGGCGAUCCGGAGGAAGACGACGGGAACUGGGAGGAUGAGGUACCUCCGCCAUGUUCCGCGUCGCUUCAAGAGCAACUUCUGCGAAGGUCACCAAUCCGGAUCCUUUAGAAAAAGUCAUUUUUUUCAGCUUCCGUGAUACAUUUGCAGGUCGUUUGAUGUUUUUCUUGCUAUUGGUUGUUCAUAGGCACUCAAGCGGCUCCCAGGAAGAAGCCCGCAGCUGCGGCGUAGUUGCAAUACGUGGGAAGGAGUUGACUUUUUUCUUUACGAUCCUAUGUUUUACUGCAAACGUUAGAUAAUUGUUCUGCAUGUUGGAAAUGGAUUAUGUAGGUUUGCUUUUUUUUCUGGAAAUCAUUUGGAAUUUUUGUGUUUUGAAUUUAAAGGUUCGAAGCUUGUGAUUUAAACUUAAAGGUUUGUCUGUGAACUUACAUCUUCGUAAUAUUAAUCAUCUGGUUGCUUCAGACGUAUUGUUUCACUUUCAGACUCCCGCAAGACUUUCAGACUCCCGCAAGACGUAAAAUUUUUGCAUUUCGGAUGCUGGGUUUAGUAGCGUAGUCAUCAGAUCCACAAGUCCAAUGAACUUUUUGACAAAUACGAGCUUAUGGUCUCUUUUUGUGGAAUGGGUCAUUUCCUUCCUUUGUCGGUAAUCUUCUUCUGUUGUUAUCGACAUUUCUUACAGUCUUUGGUAAUUGUAUUGAAGGUACUUUUAAUGAUAGACUUAACAACAAGCACAUGUUUCAUGUAUCACUAGGCCACCGAAUUUGGCUAAAGAUUGUGAACCUGCACAAGGCGAUGCUUUGAUGAUGUGUGACAUUGAUGAUGAGUCUGAAAAUUUCAAAUAUGAACUUUUGGCUUUGGGAUCCUGAAAAAGUAUCAGAGGGCGCAUUUGUAUUAGAAACAGCUUAUUUUGCGUCAGAAGUGGUAGUGGGCUUAGCAUAUGAAUAAAGCAUAGAUUUGAGAUUUUAUAGUUUGUUAAGGUAUCCCAGUAUGUAGAUGAGAUUGCUGAAAAAUGGUUGCUGAGGAAAUGCUUAGUCAUCCCAUUAUGCCUACGUCAUUACGUAUGUUAAAGCAAGUGUUCUGAGCUUUAUUGAUUGUGUAAACAACUGAUUGCCAUUUGCUGCAUUUUCUCAAUAUAAAUUGAUUAAUUUCAUUGAAUUUAGAACAUCCGUCUUUGGAUUGUAGCUGAGAUAUCUUUUUCCUGUUACUUGUGAAGGAUGAUGUGAGAUCUAUUUUUUGAGUUUUAUUAGUAGAUUAUCUUUUGGAAUGUCCAUUGUCGUGUGUAGUUAGAUACAGUAGAUUUUAAGGCUCACCAUCGUGGACUUCAGGAUUGAUAUUGAAAUUCCUAAAUCAGUGUAAUUAGUUUGCAGAGAAGCCCUGUAAACAAAUGUUUGAUAAGUCAAAGGAAAUGUGUUCAUCAAAUCAUGUGUCUUGAGCUGCCAAACCAUAUUAGAUCGUGUUGUUUCUCAUUGUCAAAAGUGGAGCAAAGAUGAUCUUGAAGGCAUUAUGUGCUAGGAUAAAGUUCUCUAAGGGUGAUCUAGUAAUCAUUAAUUCGGGAUUAUACCUGGCUUUAUCCAGAGUUAUCAAUUUUCAAAUUGGAUAAUGUUCAUGCUACAGAAUCAAUACACAAAGAUAACUGUAGGGAUUUUGAUAGAAAGGUAGCCUUACAAUGAUAAUAACAAAGAUAACUGCAGGAGUAACAAAGAAGCUAAUGUUCAUGCCAGAAGUCCCCGAGGCCUUAUUGAUAGAUAGAAGGCAACCUUACAUUCAUGGAAAUCUUAUUGAUUGCAGAUCAACUAACUAAACUUUGAUUCUAGGAUGCAGGUUAAGCUAAUGAGGAGAUGAAUUUAAUGGCGACGAGUACAGCAUUUUCUGCUGCCAGCGAUCCAAAAAUUGAAGCUUCAUUGGACCAGGAAAAGCCUCCACCAGCCUGAUCAGAGAGAAGCCUGAAGGCUAUGAAAGGGACCUAUUGCUGAAGGCAUACAAGUGCUGCAGCUGCACUCUCCAUGUCAAUUGGAGUAACACCAAACUUGGAUCUCAGGAACUCUGUAAGCUGCAUGAUCCACAAAUGUGUUGGCACUGCACCAAACUUGUAGUGUUAAUGCACUGUGGUAGCUUCAUGCCCUGAUAUUGUUCAUCAUGUCAAUUUUGGAACACAAUUAUUGCCGAGAAAUAUUGCAACUAUGAAGAACUAGUAUUUUGUGUUAUCAGCUGAAAUGAAAAGUCAGCACUCGUGAAUCUAGCAUAUGAACAUGGAUGCAUCAGCUCUAAUUUCUUGGAGAGUUCAUAGUAAUGCUUGUCAACAGAAACCCAGAAAGCAUGCUGUCUAGUUUCUGGAACUCCAUUGACUGGAAAUGUCUCUUCUGGCUGGUACCAGACACUGGUCAAGGUAUUCCCAGAGGAUUUCUCUUUACUGCUUACACUAUAAUCAGAGAAGUUGAGAUACCCAAUUUUUCUUGUGUAAUCACCAUUAGACUCCAAUGAUAAUUCAUCAUCAUCAGGCCCAUCUCUAUCUCUUGUUUAGGUUCAGAAGACAUGUUAAGUUUUCAGGACAUUUGUAUACCAUUUUAAUGAACAGUUGUUUACUAUAAAAUGUGUGUGAGAGAGAGAGGCUGAUUAUUGCUCUCAAAGUAAGCAAGAAUAGUCAAGUAAUCACAUUAUUAUUACUAUUAUUAUUUUUAAAAAAAAUAAGUGGUGAUGUUGAGAUGUCAACAUCAAUUAAGUUGGUCAAUAUCUUCUAAUCACAUUAAUUAUUUUUAUAGAAUAAAUAUAUUUGUUCACUUGUAGUCCCAAUUAUUGGAUCCUCUGCAGUCAUGAACUCUAAAUGUUGUGAAGAAUGCUUGGGGUUCAUGUCAACUUCUAGCUUCAAAACUAAUAACUUAUUUUGUAAUGACAUUUUAAAUAUAAUUCACCACUUCAAUUAGAUUCUCCAAGACAAUUUCUUUAGAUUGGUUUAAUAGCAUCUUUGUUUAUAAAUUCUAUAUACAUACUUCUAAUCAUUGCAUGUUCAUAGCAAGGGAUCAACUUCAUUUGGUGGUGACAAUUUCUCACCUACACAUUGUUGAGGUAUCAACUUGGUCAUCUGCCUAAAUGUACAUUUUCACACUAGUGCUAAAAGUAUGCUACUUGAGUUUUAUCCAAAUUCUGUAUAUAAAAGAAUAAGGUUAUAUUUUGCAUUCUUAUGGUCAACUUAGCUUUGCAAUUUGCUUACAGCAGGCAUAUAUGGCUUCUAAUCUAUUUUAUAGCUGUAAGAAGAUUUGGAUUCUUCUGUUGUCUUCUUCUUUAGUUUCUUGUUAAUCCUUUAAUUAGGACUUGAUGUGGGUAUAAUCUAGAUUAGAGAUUACUUGUCUCCUCUCCAUCCUGCCCUAUCUUGUGUAUCCACUGUCCUAUCAUUAUUCUGUAUUUGGAAGUAGUUUAUUGGGCAUUUAGAUGGAACCAUUAUCAAAAGGGUAUUGAUGAUCCUCAGGUUGGUGAUGCAUGCGACAUCUUGUAGAUGAUCUGUUUUUAGCAUUUAGUAAUACAGGAAUUCUGAGUAGAAAUAAUAGUUUUGAGGUUGACUCAACAUGUAGAAUCCUUCAUUUAGUCUAUAAAUAAAGCAGUGUGAUAUAUAUAAGUGCUGUUGGUCAGAGAUAAUAUAAUUGAUAUUUCUCACUGAAAUGGUUUGUGGAAUUGCCAGUGCAGCUUCUUGAUACUAUAAUCAUAUGCUUGUUAAGUCAAUGUACUUCCAUAUGUCACAAUAAGAUUAAAAAUGAUCCUUAGGAUCUCACCUUGUGUUUGCCUAACAAGUACCAUGAGAUUAUGGAAUUUGUUUGUCUCCUAAUCACAAAAAAGAAUUCUGUAGGAUCAUCUUUGGCAACUCAAACCUGUGAAGCUUGAUUUUAUGUGCAUUCAUGGGCUCAAAGUUGUGAUCAUCUUUGACACAUGGUCCUUCUAUUGCUGAAUAUGAUGAGCUUUUCUAGUAAAGAAAGAGAAAUUUAGGUAUAUUACAUCAAGAUAUUCACAAAAAUCAAGUCAAGCAAUGCAAUAAUAUAUUACCUUUGGGACAGCUCACUUUAGAAAAAAAAAAAAAGUCCUUAACAAUUGUCCUUACAUGUCCCUCCCUCUCUCCUCCUCCUCUCUCUUUAUCUAUCUAUCUCUCUCUCUCUCUCUCUCUAUAUAUAUAUAUGUGUAUACUUCUGUUGUUUGAUAGGGUGGUGUUGAGUGAUGAAGUGAUGGAAAGCAGAAACUACACACAGAAGCUGGUCUUAGGAAGUGAGAGAUAUGGGUCCUGUAGGAGGAGAAAGAAGAACUCAGACAAGCCAAAGCAUCCUCAAAGAGGCCCUGGUGUGGCUCAAUUAGAGAAGAUCAUAUUACAGAAUCAAAUGAUAGCAAUAGCAACCUGCCUCUCUCAAUUUGACUGUGAUCUCCACAAGGUAUUUCUUGGUGACAAUUAUCUCUACUUUUCUCUGUCCAAUUCUUAGUUCCUUGAUGCUUGUGUUCAAGCAGCAUAUUGCUAGAGUACAGAUGCGAUAUGCAUCAUCUCCCUCUUCAACUACUACUGCCUCAUCAUCAUCAUCAUCAUCAUCACUGUUUGAGCUUCACCAGAGUAUCAUGGUAUGUCAAGCUUCACUCAACAUGCUACAUCAACAGGAGUAAAAUAAGAGCUGUAGUUCCCCAGUUUUAAUUUUUUUGAGCUUUAUGGAGCUUCAGAUAGAGGCUUUGGAGACACAGCAGAAAUGGACAUCAAACAAAGUGCAUUCAGUUCUGGUGCCACAGCAAGAUGCAAUUGGUGUUCCUCUUCUCAUCAAGCAGUGCAACCUACUGCAGCACUGCCUCCCUUAGAACAAAGCAUGCAGAAGGUAUUGCCUAAAUAUCUAGCUGACCUCAUUGUUAUCUUGCUACUUUAAGAUCUUCCAUAACACAAAGGACUGGAUCAAUGCAGAUGAUCAGACUUCACGAGGACCAGGCCUUGCAAGAACUCGACUUGGAGCUUAGAUUGUGACUGUGAGAGGUUCUGGGUGGUUCGGUGUUUGAAUAAAUUGUUUCUCUCAGGAAAAAAGAUUGGAAUAGGAUGUUUCAUAGAUGUCAAAGAUACAAAUGGUUGAUUGUAACCUGCAGAAACUGCAUCUUGAGUUGAACCAUUGUGAAAUAUAAGCAGUUAAAGACCGCACACAUCAGAAACACUAUCACUUGAAAGCUCAAAACUUUGUCAAAUCUUAUUCAUUCCAAACUAGUCACAUAGCUACAGAUAAAUGUUAAUUGAUACAGACCGACGGUAUAGCAAGAGAUGCCCAUAACCAUAGGCUUAUUUCUAACAAAUAUAAUUCAAAGUUCUGAACAAGCUUUAUAACAUAAUAUUGGAAGCGCCACAUUACCCAUAGGGGUGUUUAGAAAGCAGUACUAGCUGCAAGCUACUUGUGCAUUUAUCUAUACUUCAUUGCUGCAGUUUGCGACCUCCUAUUGCUCGAUCAUUGCAUCCAUACGUGUCCUCCAUCUUUGCAAACCUUCCAUGUAUACGAGGCUGACUCUCUGCUAAAGCCUUUCUGCAAGCAUACUGCAAAAUGAUGGAUAUUGCCACCGUGUGGAGUUAAAACACAGAGAGGAGUUUGUAUUAGAAUGAGAAACAGCUCAACUUAAAACAAACAAGCAAGAAAUUUACGAGGUUGUUUGGUGUGGAUAAUAAGAUGUUGUUCGACAAGCCGAGCAGAUGGAGUAAACCCAAAACAUCUUGAAAUUGUCAUUAGCAUAUGUUUGUUUACACAUGAUCCAAUUAGCAGAACGAGAUCAUGUCUCAGAUAGACAACUUUUUGUGGAAAAUCGAAUGUCAGAAUCUACAGUUUAGCUUGAGAAUAAUUGUCUAAUUUCCAUUAGCAGAAUAAUUGAUCCUUAUAGCUCAUAACAAGAUCAUGAAAAGAAAAUUCAAGAGGACAUCUAAGUUGAUUUCUGAUCAUCAACAUUGCCGAUCUAUCCUUUUUUGUCUAAAUGUAUGCCUCUAAAGGAACUUUACUGUUCUCCGUGCCAGUUUUGUAAUCACAGGAGCAAUUGGGGCUGAAGUGCUUAACCGAUGAAAUCAAAUGAGGAAAGAAACCAAGUUUUGCACAAUCUUGUUGCAGAAUAACAUUCAUGCUCUUAUCUCAUCAGUCGUAUUACCAUAUAAAGCUUUUUCAAUGAUAGGCUUCGUGCAGUAGAUAUGUAUGUGCACAUUGUUUCUAUACACAUGCUAUUCCUUGACAUUUUGAGAUCAAGAAAAGAGGUUUACCUUGAUCUUUCUUCCAUAGUUUCUUUUUGUCCUCUUCUUCCUGUACCUGGAAAGCUUUAUCCUUCUUUCUUUGAUCUUGUCCUCAAUCUUGAUAUCCUCAAAGCUUGCUAAAACCUUAAAAGCAGGAAUUAUGUUCAUGUUACCAUGAACUGAGUUAUUGUUUCCAAGAAUCUGCCACAAGAAACUCAAAGUCAAUGGCCUGCAAUAAUCUGUGAAAAUUUCCAGAAAGACCUAAUCAUACCUUCAAGAAACAUUAUAUCAAGAGUAAGCAAUAAGCAACUGUCGUCAUUUAGGUAAUGCAGUGAUGAUAUCACAACAUGUUCAAAUUGAUGAUGCUUCCUACUCGAUUUAUAAGAGCUACCAAUACUUUGUGAUGAAUGAUUCUUUCAGAGUCACAUAUGAUUGACACUGUCAGUAAAGCAAAAUAAUUCAGGAAUGCUUUCUUCUGGUGCAAUUGUAUUGAUCCACAAGCCAGCCAGAUAAUAGAUGAUUACUUGAAAAUGCAAGUCAUAUAGACAUGGACUUAUUAAUCUGACCUGGAUAUCUCCUUCGCUGUAUGCCCUCCUCAUCUGAAAUGCAACCUCAAGAUUCAUAUCAGAAACACCAAGAAAACAUGGCUCGACACUGAGAACCUUAGAGUAGUCCACUGAGCCUAGACAUCCAAAACUGCCACUCUUCUGUAAUGAUCCCUCUGCAAAGGAAUUAUCUUUUGCUCCAGCCGUAUCUUCUUCAGUCUGCACUGCAGCAACUGUGCCAGGAGAAGGUACAAUUGUAGUUGACUUUGUAAGAAUAUCUCUUUUGCAGUCAAAGAAGACCUCACACGAUAGAUCUUCAUCUUGGAUCAACUCUGCAUCUGUGGUUUUCAUUGUUUCUUCUGUUAUAGUACUUCCAUAACCAGGCAUCACUGACAUGGUAGCGGUUAUGGGAUCUAAUGAUUCUUCUAAUAUGGGCUUUGGAGCUUCAAACAGAUCCCCGUCUCCUCCCAGGUCAUAAUCAGUAAAGGAAAUCUGAACCAGGUUACCCUGUAGAAAUCACAUAACAAAAUUUCACAGGAAGUCUUAAAAGUUCAGGAGCCUCUGAAUCCUCUUUGACUUUCUUUUCUUUAUUUUCUAAAGAGAGGAGGAGGGAGGAGGGGAUUAUAAAAUCUGUUAUCCCAUAUUUCAGAGACAAAAUGAUCAAGCUUAACUUUUCAGGGUUUUGAGGAUCAUAAGAUGACUAGAAUAGAAAAUUUUAGGGACUAAAAUGUUACUGAUACAAAGUGUAAAGAAAUACUAAAGAGCUGCUAGGGAAACCAUCAGAAACAUAAGGAGUUCUAGAUGUAUUUUCUUGUACUGUAAAUAAAUGAUCGCAUUGCUAAGCUGAUAAGCAUUGUUCUUAAUGCUGGAUCCGAUGAAUUGUGCAAGGCAAAAUAUCAAAUGAAAGAAUGGUGUAUUCAGUUGUGUUAUUCAUUUGUAUUACAGAAUCAUUUACUUCUAGAUAUACACCUAUUAAUACUCUAUUCACCUUCCGAACAGAAAUGCAUAAACUUGAUUUCUCAAUUGACAAAAUCUACCGUGUUUUUAAGAUUUAUUUAAUUAGAACUGCUGAGUAAUAGCUUGUGUAGAACCAAGUUUAAAGAAACUAUGUAGAAAUUUUGCCACAUAACUAUGUAGGAGGACUAUGUUAAUUAUGAAAUGCACCCGAUCUGACGGUAUCACCUAAAACUUAACCACGACACAAGUAUGAAAAAACUCGUGUUCAUGAGAAAGGGAUGUAUGAAAUGAAGCAUGAAGCGUAUGUGUUUCCGUCAAAAUCCAUAUUAAUUAUGUUCUUUGAUAAUGGGUUAAUGCUGUAUAAAACACCCUCCCGAAAAGCAUUCUAGUGUCGUAAAGCAUUGGCAGGCCUUGAGAGUAAAUCAUGCUUGAAAAUUCAUUUAAUGAAGGCAGAAACUUAUGUUCAAGGACACAAGAAACGAUAUCGCAAAAAACUGUAUUAAUGCGCAAUAUACGAUAAGAUAAUAAUACAUGAUGAGUGUCUGCAGUAUUACACAAGGAUGCACAUUUUUAUACAAGAAAACAUAGCAGCUAGUAACAACUUACUUGAAUGGCUGUCUCUAUGCAGAUCUACUAGAUUAAUCUGAGCAGGAAGCAUGAAUAGAUUAAAAAGAAAGAAAAAAAAAAGAGACUUGAUUGCAGUGACAAAUUAAUGGAUAAAGUUGAAUACAAGUAUUUGCUGUUAUGUAAAAAUUCUGACUUCCUAUCUGAAAUAAUCAACAAGAAGAAAUAAGGUGGAGCAAAGAAGCAAUGGUCAGGAAGUUGUGUUGCUUCGAAUAGCAUAUAGAGUCAUCAACUUAAUCUCAAAGAAAUAGGGCAAAAAGAUGGGUUAACAGCAAUCUUAAGAAAAGAAAAAGUUAAAGAAAGAGGGACCAGAAAACAAAUAAAAGCAUUAAUAUUUCUGCGUCUAUCAAGCAUCACAUAGAAAUGAGGUCUAUGAGAAUCCAUAGCAAAACAGAGAUCAGUGGGCAUUCAUUCUAGUUCAUGAUCGACGGAUGUGAGUGGCCAGAAAGUAACAAGAUUCCCAAGACAUAUAAUAAUACCCUAGGGAUUUGAGGAACUAAUAAUAGUCUGAUUUCUCAAGAUUAUCAAGUAAGAAGAAGAAAAUUAGGACAGAAAAAAUACAGGAGAAAGACUCACUGCGCAGAUUAGUAAAGAUCAUAGGUGAUAUCUCCCGCAAGAAAUCAGUCAUAUGAAAUCUAAGCAGAAAAUAAGACUUUUUGUUACUGAAGGACUGGGCGGAAGAUAGAAAGAAAGAAUCAUGAAGCAAUCCAUACCAAGGUGGGAGCAGCACCAGGAAAGACCGUGGAGACCAAGUCUUCAUGAAAUGUAAACGGAAGAAGAUGUUGAUCAGCUCCUGAUACUACUUGUGGAAAGCCCUGCAUGCAGGGCAACAGCAGCCCGGUCUCUGCAUACAUCUUUCCUGCUCCUCUUCUUGGUUGGAACUCAAGAACUUGCAGGUAGGAACUACAAGAGGCAAUAAAUAGGAAAGGAACAGACAAAAUCAUGCAUGUAGCAGCCACAUCCCAGAAUUCAUCUUAGCUCUUUCUCCUUAACUGGACACUUAGGACAUACUCAGAAAUCUUAUAUAAAUCUUUUACCCCUACAAGAUCUAAAACAUGUCCUGCAUCAUGAGCUCUGUGGGAUAUGUCACAUGUCUCAGGUUACAAGGAUAAAGGAGUAAUUGCAUGCCUUUGAGGAACAUAUGUGUCCCUUUUGGAGGUUCAAGGAAUGACUACAGAGGGCACAACAACAAGGCCUCACUCAGAUUCAGGUGAUGAUAGAUUCAAAGAAGAUGAUCAACAUGACCUGUGCAAAGACAUUUACCAUCUUGCCAAAGCUGUGAAGAACUCCAAACAGGGUUUCAUUCCGUAAGGACUUAAUAGGACUGCACAGCCUUGGCAAAUAUGCUAGAGAGAAUGUAACUACAGAACUCUGGUCCUCCCUCCCUCUGGAAAAAGUCUUUUUAACUAAUCUGUGUUCCUGGUAAGAACCUCUAAUGAGCCUACAGAAAUCCAAAGCAUAAACUGCAGAGGACAGGAUCAUAAGAAUAAUUUAAAGUUGGGUGUAGCACGGAAAGCAGAGGUCCUAACUACAGGAUAGAGAUGGUGCAAGUAGAGCAAACAUCUCUUGAAUGGAUGUUACAGGAAAAAGUUGUUGGGAAUCUUUUCCACUGGCAUAUGAUCAGCUAAGGAACAACCUUUGCUGGUACCAUGUAUGUCCCUUGGGAGUCAGUGCAAUCAGCUUGUCCAAUCUGCCGCAGCUUAUCAAGAAUCCACAAAUGGUUGAUCAAAACAAGAUAGAAAGCACUGCCACCCACAAGUAGCUUGGAACUUUGUAGAUGGAGCUCCUAUUCAUCAAAGAGAAAGAUCUAGUAGCCUGGUAGGUAGGUUGCAGUACCAAAAGGAUCUUUUGCAUGUGUAGCUACAGAGGUAUCCAUUUGCAUACUAUUGGUUGCAGGAAGAUAAGAUGAGUUUUCUACCUUUAAUCUGUAGCAUCCUUGGAGAGAUUCUUCAGUGAGGAUAUUUAGGAACAAAUCAGUGAGACGAAAAUUCUAUUUUCUCUGUAGAAUCUAAUUUCAUUCAUAUUAAAAUGUAGAGAAAAGAAAAAAUGUAGGGAAUGAUCCUCCAACAAAAUUCCCCAGGUCAAAGAGUUCAGAGGAAAGUGAUGAUCUCUGAGAGAAAUAGCAUCAAAAAACUAUAGAAAGAGGGCACAUGGCAGAACUACUAAAUUAGUGACAAGAAAUGUCAAAAAGAAUGACAAUACAGAAGGUUGAGUCACACUUUUCCCACUUCAGUAAAUGUCUCAGAUUUGGCUUUUCUUGCUUCCCCAUCAACAUGAACAGAGCCGGCAAUGUGAUCACUCACAGUCACAGCCAAUAGAAUAAACGUCAGGAGCUACGUAAGUUCAGCAAUCAAUGACUCCACCAAACUAAAACAACUAGAUUUGACUUAUUUUGACAUCCAAAAUGGACCAUAUUUGUCAACUUGCUUGACAUCUAGAACAAGAACUAAUCUACAAUAAUCUGUUCAUGAUGUGACAGCACUUCAUUUAUGGUUGGCACGAAGCCAGUGAGAGCACAAAAAAGAUCAACUGCAUUGAUGGCCAUUAAUUGUCCACAACUGUUAAUAAUCUUCAGAAAAUGGCUGUGUUCAGUGUUCAGCUGAUGCGGGGAUUGUCAUGUUGGUUUGAUGAAGAGCAUGCAACCAAACUUAUCCAUGAAAUAAUGCAGCUGAAAGACCAAAGACUUCCUGCUCAUCAUCAUCAACUUAAUAGUCCAUAGAUUGUUCUGCUUGGUGGUGGUCACUCAGGUCAUCUCAGAAGCUUAAAUUGGAUCCAAGCUUGACAAUUUGCAAUCUGUAUGUUCAUUUUUGAUGAGAAAUAUCUCCCCUUGUCAAGUCUUGAUGAUGAGUUGUGCAUACUUUGCUGCUCUUUUUGCUCCCACCAUCACUAUCCUCACAUUUGGCUUGUCCAAAUGGGUGAAGCUCACCUGUCGGAGAUAAGGCAGUGUCUGUAUGCUAUAGAAAAAUGAAAGUGAAUUCAUACAAGAAAGAGAACUGAUGGAUGAACUUGUUUUCGUGUCUGUUGACACAGAGAGCUAUUCUUCCUCAUGCUUCAGUCAGUAUGCAUACCUUUUCUCAUGGUUGAAGAAGAUGAUGAUAAUAUCAAGCUCACAUGAGACUCACUUUUUCUUAGAUACUGAAGAGAUGCUCGUGUCUAGAGAAACCAGCUUUCAUCUUUUCUCUGACAUUUGCAGGUACUGCAUGGACCAGAAAAUUACUGCAAAUAACAGAAAGUAUUCCUCCAAAUUAACUUCCCCAGAAAUAUUACAUCCGACCUGAAGAAACCAAGGCUAGUGGUCAUCACGUUGUUCACACAAGUGGUGGAUCCAUCGAUGCCCGUGAUUCUUAUCCCAACUCUCAUUUCUUCUCAGAAGAAGCUGCAAGAUAGAAAUGAUUAGACCUUUUUGGGGAUCAAACGUCCAAGCUCAUCCGUCUGGCAGCUUCCAAAGUGUCUUGAAUGUGGAUCUGUGCUUGAUGUUUCCCUGUCAAGUCUUGAUCUGUUCUCAGACACCGGAGGAUGAGUGUUGCAGAUGAGCAAGGAUCUCAUGCUGUUCAUUCUCGUCACUUCUCAGUGCAAUUAUUCCAUGGGGUCUCUCUCCACAGUGGCUUUUCCGAUUCAGUAGUGAGCUGCAGCAUCACCUGGAAAUGGAAAACUCCUGCAAUGUUUUGAAGAAGUAUUAUAUAUUGGAGUUUUCUCCAUGUCAUGAUCAGAAACUUGCUCUCAAGUUUCACCGACUGUAAACACUUACAGAAAUGACUCAAUCAUGUCACCCAAACCCUAAACUUCUACCUUUUUGUUGAAGCAGUUGCUGCUGUGUAAUUGUGUUAGUAUAUUCCACAAAGACAAAUGACAAACGAAAUGAUCAUGAUCUCAAAUCCAUGCCUGACACAGGACCAAUGAAGCCAAAGAUGUCAAUGCCAGAAUCCCAUCAGCUUUUGGUUUGUGGUGAUACCACUCUUC
RNAcentral lists this long non-coding RNA (54079 nucleotides) under Musa acuminata (dwarf banana). RNAcentral describes it as "long non-coding RNA (MACU_LNC002258)". The stretch from base 20645 to 20836 matches the Rfam family "MIR159 microRNA precursor family". Lineage: Eukaryota; Viridiplantae; Streptophyta; Magnoliopsida; Zingiberales; Musaceae. The record is from RNAcentral.